UCAGGAAUAAGUAUUCUGGACAUCAACAAGUGCUUGUGUCUGGUGCCUCUAGAAUCGAGCAGUAGCGAUGUCAGUCUAUGGUUAUGUCUAGCUUAAAUGGUCAGGAGACCGAAGUCUUUUGCAAUAGACCUCUGUCUUGUGCCCCCAGACUAUAUUAUAUCUAUAUAUGAAACCAGUAUGUGAUGGGAACUCUUAUUUUGUAUUCCUGUUUCUACCUUAUUGUAAUUGCUACAAGUGGCUGUAAACCUUUUAACUUUGAAGCCAGUGUUUGGUAUGUCGUGCUUAUUUUCUUCAAUACGCUAGUUCAUCAUUUGCUGCCAUACUGAAAGUCUUUUGGAGUAUCCUGCCAUGGUUGUUAGUGUAAGUGACAUGGCAUAAAUAUAUGGUAUCAUACUGGGCCAGAAUCCUCCAAAGUUUAUCAAAGUAUACCUUUACUUGUAACAGUGUUCUAGCACAAGUUGCAGAUACCGAGGCCGAAGACUAGGCGUGUGAAUCAAAUGACCCGACGUCUAAGCUUUGUUGAACUAAGGGAAAGUCUAGGAUAACUGCUAUGCAGCGAAUCAGUUCCUCUCCCAAAAUCAUACUAAGUGCUUCAGAUGUCCAGAUCAUUGCUUCCGAGGGGUAUCCAACACAUUUGCCGAAAUAGUCCCGCGACCCAGAGAUUUCACCAGAAACUUCAGGGUUUGCUACAGCGGUUCUGAUCUCAGAUUUGGUAAGAUUCAGAAAUAAAGCAGCAUCCACUGCAUUCUCCGAUGCCUCCCUUGCCUAGUCCUGCUGUGAGAACUCGAAAGGUAAUAUUGGAGAAAUAAACCUCAAGUCAGCUAGCUUUUCAGAAAUGUUAAGUCAAGCAUCCCUUUCCCCUCUUUAUUGGAAGAGGAGUAAUGGACCAUUGGACAAUAUCUGACCUGGUCUCACAAUCGCACAGAGCUUGAAUGCUUGAUCAUGUUGUACUCGUCUGAUGAAGACCACCUCUUGUUUGAUUGUGACUUGUACUAAACUGCACAACCCGGAAUUGCUUGGUCAAGGCAUUUUUGGGUUGUUGGGAUCAACUCCCCACAUGGAAUGGGUCAAUCACUGUCCCCUCACUAAUAAAACUUCUAAAUAGCCAGUGUUAGGAUGUUAUGCUUAGUUUUCCUAAUACGCUAGUUCAUCAUUUUUCGCAAUGUUGGGGGUUUGUUGGAGUAUCUUGCGAUGGUUGUAGGGUUAGUGACGUGGCAUAAACAUAGGGUAUCAUAUUGGGCCCACAUCCUCCUUCAAAAUCUCUCAAAAUAAAGUUUUACUUGUAACAAUGUUCUAGCACAAGUUUUUUUUUUAAACGGAGGCAAAGAUUGCCUCGUCUAUUAAUUAAGCAGAAGAGAAUUGCCCAGUUAAUUAUGAAAAACCGGGCAAAAACCGGAACAACAAGGGCCGAGCCCACUCCCAUAGACUGAAACACACAGGGCAAAGCCCACCCUUCUCGACGACAUGUCGACCUGCGGACAGACAACGCAGCUCCGAUUCUGACGGAGAACUCAGAAGAACGAAACCAGGCACGGCUGGCGCCAUGGAAGAUCGCUGAAAGGACACCUGGAACCGGUCAUCGUAUACCACAGGGCCUCGCCGCCGCAGCUUCGACUCCACAACAACAAACAAACCGAGGCAAUAUCGUGGACACGCCGGAGAAGAGCCGACUAUCGCAACCAUUGCCGCAUCACUGACAUCGCUCCCACCAUCAUCGUUGCCAUAGAAGUCUGGACGCCACAGUGAUUUUCUCGGGGCCGCCGCCCCGACAUCCACCGCUCCGUCGCGCCCAGCGCAAUCAACCGGCACCACCUUCCGGGGCCGCCGCCCCGACGUACCACCGCUCCGCUCGAGCAGCAACGCUGCGCGACCCAGCUGCCCACAGCCCAUGCUGCUCAGGGCAACCGCUCGCAGACCACGAAUGUCGCACCACAUCCGGGGCCGCUGCCCCGACGCAAAGUCAGACCGCCCCCUCUGGAACGCGUCGACCGGACCGACAAGCCUGCCACCCAAGUGGCCCAAGAUUGCCACCCAAGUGAAGGCCGAGCCACUGCCCCGCCCCAUGGAGCCGCACCGCGCAUCACUUUUCGAGGCCGCCGCCUCGGCGUUCAUCAGCCGUCCGGGGCCGCUGCCCCGGCAUCCACCAAACCCGACGUAGGAGAAAACCAAACGCACCAAGCACAAGCUAACUCUCCCAAGCAACGCCCCCAAGAGGGAAACGAUGAAGACGUCGCCGUCGCCCGCUCCGGAAAAUCUGGAGCUUAGGUUUUCACCCGGAGAGCCCGAGCCCCACAUAGAAGAAGAUGAGUUCCACAACGACGCCUCCAAGAAGGGAAACGACGCCCGAAAGCGCCGCCGUCAACGGCACCGACAAAGUCGGGUCAAGGCUUUCGCCCGGAACACACACAUCCCUAUGGAGGCCCGCAGAUCUGAUCCACCCAGAAGCAUGGAGAUCAUUGGAGCCGUUCCUGUUGCGCCUUGCACUCUCCAACGCCGACCACCAAGCUUCACCGCGCACCACCCUCAGCAGCAGCACCUCAAGCUGUGAAUGAGAAGCGAGCGCACACGACACCAUGGCCAAAACGCCAUGGCUUCCAGCCCGGGGCCACCGCCCCGGCUUCCUCCUCGCGUCACGCCCGCCUGACGAGCUUCCCUGCCCGGCGCCUCCCGAGCCGAACCACGUCCCGCCCACGCGCCCGACUUGCGCCGCGCACAACGCACGCACCGCGCGAGACGCCCGCCCGCACGCAUCCGCGCCUCCCCUUGACGGCGCCCCUGCUGGAGCGCCAGAUCCCGCGCCCNNNNNNNNNNNNNNNNNNNNNNNNNNNNNNNNNNNNNNNNNNNNNNNNNNNNNNNNNNNNNNNNNNNNNNNNNNNNNNNNNNNNNNNNNNNNNNNNNNNNNNNNNNNNNNNNNNNNNNNNNNNNNNNNNNNNNNNNNNNNNNNNNNNNNNNNNNNNNNNNNNNNNNNNNNNNNNNNNNNNNNNNNNNNNNNNNNNNNNNNNNNNNNNNNNNNNNNNNNNNNNNNNNNNNNNNNNNNNNNNNNNNNNNNNNNNNNNNNNNNNNNNNNNNNNNNNNNNNNNNNNNNNNNNNNNNNNNNNNNNNNNNNNNNNNNNNNNNNNNNNNNNNNNNNNNNNNNNNNNNNNNNNNNNNNNNNNNNNNNNNNNNNNNNNNNNNNNNNNNNNNNNNNNNNNNNNNNNNNNNNNNNNNNNNNNNNNNNNNNNNNNNNNNNNNNNNNNNNNNNNNNNNNNNNNNNNNNNNNNNNNNNNNNNNNNNNNNNNNNNNNNNNNNNNNNNNNNNNNNNNNNNNNNNNNNNNNNNNNNNNNNNNGGGGUGUGGAGGGAGGAGGGAAGGUGGCGGCGCCGGAGUGGUUCCCCCCGUGCCGCCAGGGAGAGGCGACGCGGAGGUCAGGCUUCUCCACCAGCACAAGUUGCAGACAGUGGCUUAGGAGAACAACUUGUGGCUCAAGUGGUAUUGGCCUAGUUUGCUGUUUUAUGCAUAUAAAAUUAUAAAUCAUGUGUUCAUGUGGAAAGUGGAGACUGCCAAUCAUUGGUCUUUCAAUUGCACCGAACUCUACUUCCCUUUUUCCAUUGUGACCUAACAAAAUCCUGUUUUUGUUAAGUGAAAUAUUGGCCACUCUUGGAUUUUGAACUAAGGACUAGACCGUAGAGAUUGUUGUAAGAAAAAGAGUGCGCGACUGUAGAAACUUUGUGUUGUAUUAAAAGGAAAUGAGAAAUCUCAUGAUUUAUAUUGAUAUAUAUGUUUUGAACUUUUCUAUAUCCAUUGGUCAUACGCUCAAGUUACUCUUUUGUUCCCUUUAAGUAGGAGUACCCAAGUGGAGAUUCGUUUCACGGUUUGACAAAUGUUUUUUUCGACAAAGCGUGUUUUUUAUUGACUCAAAAUUUAGAGCAUCGAGAGAUACAAUUAUAGAAGUACACACCCGGCAUCUGUAUAAUUAGGAUGCACACAACCAACACUAACACACACAUAAAAAAUCAAGUCGGCAAAUAGCUAAGUCAUCAAGACUGAAGCUAUGCCCAGGCAAGAAACAAAAAAAAAAACCCCGAAAGCGAUAAAGACAAUGAUUGACAACAUACAUAAGUGACCAUCGACACCAAACCAUCUCUUACAACACAAGGGCUAUGAGGAAGGUUCUUCAAAAGCGACACCUCUAGGAAGAGAACGACGUGCAAGCGCCACCAAACAAUGACUUCAUCAAGGUAAUGACGUUGAGAACAUCGCCAUUGCUAGGUAUAACCAAACAGUCAGACCUAGGGUUUUCACUCUAGAUCUCCGGACCAGGUACCAAAAAGUACAACCUAAUCAAAGCCAUCAUAUGUUGUCUCCUCCACUUGCCUCGAUCCCAACAGCUGAAUAUAUAUAUACACACCGUCCUGAUGGUAGGCUAAUGAGCCAGGGCAAGGGCUGUUCAACACAACCCGGUGAAGUCUUUGUUGGGGAGUGUCGCUGUACUAGAGUAGGGGUACCCUAUUACCCCGAACUCGUGCACGGGCAGUUGCAGCACCCCGCGGCAAGGCUUGCCGGGUGACCGCCAGGACCCUCCGUGGUUCCCUUGAAGACCAUUCAAGAACAAAGUACUCAAACCAAGGCCCCGGCAAGAGGAGCUUGCCGGGAAGGCCAACCAAGGCCCCGGCAAGAGGAGCUUGCCGGGAAGGCCAACCAAGGCCGCGGCAAGAGGAUCUUGCCGGGAAGAGACAAGACCCCGGCAAGAGGAGCUUGCCGGGAAGGCCACUCAAGGCAUACCAAGAAAGCUUGCCGCGACGCGCCCUGCAUCCCGGCAAGAUCCGGCGAGCGACAAGCUUCCGGACGCGACAAGACGACGGCCGCGGCAAGGAGUUUGCCGCGGGAAACCCCCACUUCGUGCCUGCGCUCCAGCACACCUGCUAACGUGUCGCUCUAGGGCUCUCCCAAGCACACGUGGCAGGAGGCCGUGCAGCUAAGGGUACGUGGUGGCAAGCAGAGAUGAAGAGAAGCCCAUCGUGGCAAACGGUGGCGCUCCUAACGGUCACCUUUUGCACUGUUUAGGAGACUCAGACAGGCAUUUAAUACCCUUGUCCCCUGCCGUCAGAGUUAGGUAGGGCGCACUAUAUCCACAGUAAGCGGUAGCUGCACCUACCGCAUCCUUUUCCAUUUUUACCCUUCUAGUCUACGUUGCCACCUGUGGGUAACCCCUUGAAAGUAUAAAAGGAGGCCCAAGCGCAACGAAGAAGGGGUUCCGGAGGUUCGGCCAGUUCGGCUCAUUCAACACCAGGAACACUCUCACGCUCAGUCUGGCAGCGUCCAUCGCUCCUGAGCAAGAAUCCAAUAUACACAAACAAGCAGCAGUAGGGUUUUACGCAUCCGUGCGGCCCGAAGCUGGGUAAAAUCGCCCGCGUGUACUGCCUCGAUCCGCUCUUUGUGCGCUCUCCGCCCCCCACCGAACCGAAAGGGGCCCUGUCCCCAUAGGUGUUGGUGGAAUCAGCAUCGCCCCCGACAUCUUUGGCGCGCCAGGUAGGGGGCGUCGAGAUCGUGCGAAUCCGAUCCGGCGUGCACGCAAGCUAAAUCUUCAUCGUCAUGGCUCCCAAGGAGCGGACGAGCAAAAGAACGACGCCAGUGCGGCAACAGAAAAAGCUAAGUCAUGCAAAACUUUAGAUAUUUCCUUUCUAUAUAAGGUUAUCCGCCUCGGAGAUCUUGUUCUUUGUACGGAAAACCUGUGCGCGGAGGAAUCAACUCGUGGCUAGUUGCGCCCUUACUUUGUUUCGAGUCCGCUCAACAGCUUAAGUGAGCUGCUAGCGCCCUUACUUUGCUUCGAGUCCGCUCAACAACUUAAGUGAGCCGCUAGCGCCCUUACUUUGUUUCGAAUCCGCUCAACAACUUAAGCGAGCUGCAACUAGUUGCGACAAGAUUGCUUGUCGAUAGCGACCCCGCCAGCAGGCUGCUGAAGUUCCGCACUCGGCGCUCGCGGCAAGGGUGCCUGCACCGGCAAGUUUCCCUAGAAAGCGUAGGGUGAACGUACAAAGAGAGGUUCAACAGGAAGAUAGCAUGCGCUAUUUAUUUGAGAUUUCUGCAUAGACCUGUAUGCCGAGGAGCCUUCUCGGGGCUAGUUGCGCCCCAUGUUGCCUCGAGUCCGCUCGGCAAUUUGUGCGGUUGCGCUAGCACCAAGAAGGUAAACCUUUCCGGGAGGCGAUGUUCCCGAAUAGCUGCUAAGGGCCCUUUCCCUCAAGCGCUACUGGCUGGAUCGUACGCACCAAAAAGCAUUCCAGCAGGCAUAGGGAAUAUGCAGCAAAAGUCGAAAUUCGCAAGCGAGUUAAGUGCACUUCGGAUGCUAAUCACUUGUCAUCUUUAAAUGCAGUCAUGGCUCGGGGGCUGGCAACGCCCCUAGGGCCAACCUUUCCGGCAACGAUCUUGCCGGGAGCCGGCGUCAAGAACGACGAAGUUCUUCGCCAUAAGCCUUUCCGGCAACGAUCUUGCCGGGAGCCGGCGUCAAGAACGACGAAGAUCUUCGCCAUAAGCCUUUCCGGCAACGAUCUUGCCGGGAGCCGGCGUCAAGAACGACGAAGUUCUUCGCCAUAAGCCUUUCCGGCAACGAUCUUGCCGGGAGCCGGUGUCAAGAACAACGAAGUUCUUCGCCAAAAGCCUUCCUGGCGACCAGCUUGCCGGAAGUCGGCAUCGAGAACGUCAAAGUUCUCUGCUGAAGAUAAAAGCCUUCCUGGCAACAAACUUGCCGGAAGCCGGCAUCGAGAACGUCAAAGUUCUCUGCUGAAGAUAAAAGCCUUCCUGGCAACAAACUUGCCGGAAGCCGGCAUCGAGAAUGUCAAAGUUCUCUGCUGAAGAUAAAAGCCUUCCUGGCAACAAACUUGCCGGAAGCCGGCAUCGAGAACGUCAAAGUUCUCUGCUGAAGAUAAAAGCCGUCCUGGCGACCAGCUUGCCGGAAGCCGGCAUCGAGAACGUCAAAGUUCUCUGCUGAAGAUAAAAGCCUUCCUGGCAACAAACUUGCCGGAAGCCGGCAUCGAGAACGUCAAAGUUCUCUGCUGAAGAUAAAAGCCUUCCUGGCAACGAGCUUGCCGGAAGCCGGCAUCGAGAACGUCAAAGUUCUCUGCUGAAGAUAAAAGCCUUCCUGGCAACGAGCUUGCCGGAAGCCGGCAUCGAGAACGACAAAGUUCUCUGCUGAAGAUAAAAGCCUUCCAGGCAAGCCAAUAUCGCUGGGGGCUGUGAGUGCCAAGAAUCGCCCACGGCAAACCAGAGUUGCCGAGGGCUGCAAUAUCAGAUAAGUCUUUCAUCCCUCAUCAUGCAUUCUCUUACGGACUGGGGAACGCGAAACCAUGUUCCUUCCCGGAAACUGCCGUGCUCCCUCGACUCUAGGCCCUGGGGCUCGUUCUCGGGGCCAAGUUUGGUCGUAGUCGUGGCAGCAAAGGGAUGAAACGAGGAGACCGCACCCACCUCGUUCCUGCCUCCGUCAAAAGCGUGAGAAAGGUCGAGCGACGUGGGAAGGUGGCAGGGUCUGUUCCCGGGAGAUGAAAUGUCUGUCUGAGGGAUACCAAGGAUUCGCUCCUUGGCGUGGGUUUAGCUCACGAGACAAAUAACCCGGCAAGCAUCCCCUUUUCAUUAAAAAAAACAUCCCACUCAGGUACAGUCCAUAGAGGAUGAAAAACAUGAAAGAGAGGAUUACAAGUUCAAGAUACAGCUAAGGCCCGAAGGCUUACAAAUUAAAAAGAUAAGAUGCCCGUAAUCCCUUUCCUGUCCCUCUUUUUAGGAGGCAGGUCAAGGAGGCGAAAAGGGCAAAAGGAGUGCCUAGGAGAACUACAGGUGCCAGAAGACACCAAGGGAACAUCCCGGGGGCCGUCCGAAGGCUGGACGGCGACGGCGGCGCUGGAAGCGGGGCUCGAAGACGGGGCGGCAGGACGUCAGCACGCUGUCGAGGGCACCACGCCCUCGUACUCCGACCUGACGGCCUUGUCGCCAGCCCUCUUCCCCUUCUGCAGCCUCCCUACGCCAGCCGCCCAAGGAGACGACCCCGGGGAGUUCAAGAAGCCGGCGACGCGGAUGAUGGGGUCGCCGGUGCCGCGCAAAGCGGCGUCCGACGCCUAGUCGGACCCGCCGCUCCGCCACCCGCUGCCCUCAUCGUCGCUGUCGCUCCCCUCCUCGUCACUCUCGCUCGAGGAGGAGCCUUCGCUGUCGGAGGAGCUGUCCACGCAGCACUUCGCCCGAGUGCCGAAGCACCCGAAGGCCUUGACGGAGAGGAGAUCGCCCUCCAUCAACUUAAAAUGGAGGGUAAACCCCUCCGUCAAGCUGUGGAUGCGGGCGAACGUCUUCCACCCUCGAUCAAGAUACAUCACAUUAGGGGCUGGGAAUGCAACGCGGACUCGCGUGCCGCUAAUCCCACAGCCCCUCAUGUGCAGUCUCAGCGUCUCGGGCGGGUCCACUUCCAUCGCACGCACAAACGGAGCUGGAAGCCGGAGGCGACGACGAGGCGCCCGGCGCAGCCUGACGAAGAACUUGCAAGGGUCGUCCCCUAUAUGGACCGCCGUGGGGGGAGGAGCCGCCGGCGGAGGUGAAGCUGACGCGCCGCCCCGUCCGCCUCUUCCCCGAGCGCCUCGACCUCGUCCUCGACCUCGUCCGCGACCUCGCCCCCUCCCUCUUCCCCUUAUGGCUGGCUCUGCCACCACGGGCGCGGAAGAGGGAGAGAUGCGCUGUCUGGCGGCGACCCUCGCCGCCACCGAUGAAGGGCCUGGGUUCCCUUUCUCCAUGGCAGAUGCGAGAAAGGGGAGCAGAAGCUGAAGAAAGGAGAAGAUGAGAGAGUGCAGGUUUCUGUGCUCCCAUCCCGCUCUUUAUAAAGGAGCGAGGUGGGGGCUCGGCCGCCCCGCUCAGCGAAUCAAGGCACGGGAAGGGCAGGGAGUCAGGGCCAACCCGCUCGCGACGGGCCAGUUUCCCACUCCACCGUCCGUGACCCCAAGCGCAUGGGAGCCGCGUGGCGGGGAUGCAGAACCAAGGUGACGGAUGAGGCGGCCUCGCUCCGUCCCGUGAACACGGGGAGUGGACGUCCCAAAAACCGCGCACCGGCCCCGUCCAGUAAAUGCACCACGCCCCCACACCUACCUCCAUUUAGGGAGGAGGGCGUGAACCGUCCCCAUCAUCAUGGCCUGACGCAUACUCGGGAGGCUUAGCCCCACGCACGCCACCCACGAUCUCACCCACGACGCCGCAUUUGACGCGUGCCGUUCUGGGCGUGCGCGGUGGGAGCGGAGAGAUAUGCGGUGUGACCUAGGCCGCACGUGCCCGUGCACUGUUUUGGGCCUGGCCCAACAGCGCUCGGCACCGUGUAUGGCCCAGGCCCGGGGGCUCCUGUCGGUGUACUAGAGUAGGGGUACCCUAUUACCCCGAACUCGUGCACGUGCAGUUGCAGCGCCUCGCGGCAAGGCUUGCCUGGUGACCGCCAGGACCCUCCGUGGUUCCCUUGAAGACCAUUCAAGAACAAAAUACUCAAACCAAGGCCCCGGCAAGAGGAGCUUGCCGGGAAGGCCAACCAAGGCCCCGGCAAGAGGAGCUCGCUGGGAAGGCCAACCAAGGCCCUGACAAGAGGAUCUUGCCGGGAAGAGACAAGACCCCGGCAAGAGGAGCUUGCGGGAAGGCCACUCAAGGCAUACCAAGAAAGCUUGCCGCGACGCGCCCUGCGUUCCGGCAAGAUCCGGCGAGCGACAAGCUUCCGGACGCGACAAGACGACGGCCGUGGCAAGGAAUUUGCCGCGGGAAACCCCCACUUCGUGCCUGCGCUCCAGCACACCUGCUAACAUGUCGCUCUAGGGCUCUCCCAACCACACAUGGCAGGAGGCCGUGCAGCUAAGGGUACAUGGUGGCAAGCAGAGAUGAAGAGAAGCCCAUCGUGGCAAACGGUGGCGCUCCUAACGGUCACCUUUUGCACUGUUUAGGAGACUCAGACAGGCAUUUAAUGCCCUUGUCCCCUGCCGUCAGAGUUAGGUAGGGCGCACUGUAUCCACAGUAAUCGGUAGCUGCACCUACCGCAUCCUUUUCCAUUUUUACCCUUCUAGUCUACGUUGCCACCUGUGGGUAACCCCUUGAAAGUAUAAAAGGAGGCCCAAGCACAACGAAGAAGGGGUUUCGGAGGUUCGGCCAGUUCGGCUCAUUCAACACCAGGAACACUCUCACGCUCAGUCUGGCAGCGUCCAUCGCUCCUGAGCAAGAAUCCAAUAUACACAAACAAGCAACAGUAGGGUUUUACGCAUCCGUGCGGCCGAAGCUGGGUAAAAUCGCCCGCGUGUACUGCCUCGAUCCGCUCUUUGUGCGCUCUCCGCCCCCCACCGAACCGAAAGGGGCCCUGUCCCCAUAGGUGUUGGUGGAAUCAGCAUCGCCCCCGACAUCUCUGGCGCGCCAGGUAGGGGGCGUCGAGAUCGUGCGAAUCCGAUCCGGCGUGCACGCAAGCUAAAUCUUCAUCGUCAUGGCUCCCAAGGAGCGGACGAGCAAAAGAACGACACCAGUGCGGCAACAGAAAAAGCUAAGUCAUGCAAAACUUUAGAUAUUUCCUUUCUAUAUAAGGUUAUCCGCCUUAGAGAUCUUGUUCUUUGUACGGAAAACCUGUGCGAGGAGGAAUCAACUCGUGGCUAGUUGCGCCCUUACUUUGUUUCGAGUCCGCUCAACAGCUUAAGUGAGCUGCUAGCGCCCUUACUUUGCUUCGAGUCCGCUCAGCAACUUAAGUGAGCCGCUAGCGCCCUUACUUUGUUUCGAAUCCGCUCAACAACUUAAGCGAGCUGCAACUAGUUGCGACAAGAUUACUUGUCGGUAGCGACCCCGCCAGCAGGCUGCCGAAGUUCCGCACUCGGCGCUCGCGGCAAGGGUGCCUGCACCAGCAAGUUUCCCUGAAAAGCGUAGGGUGGACGUACAAAGAGAGGUUGAACAGGAAGAUAGCAUGCGCUAUUUAUUUGAGAUUUCUGCAUAGACCUGUAUGCCGAGGAGCCUUCUCGGGGCUAGUUUCGCCCCAUGUUGCCUCGAGUCCGCUCGGCAAUUUGUGCGGUUGCGCUAGCACCAAGAAGGUAAACCUUUCCGGGAGGCGAUGUUCCCGAAUAGCUGCUAAGGGCCCGUUCCCUCAAGCGCUACUGGCUGGAUCAUACGCACUAGAAAGCAUUCCAGCAGGCAUAGGGAAUAUGCAGCAAAAGUCGAAAUUCGCAAGCGAGUUAAGUGCACUUCGGAUGCUAAUCACUUGUCAUGUUUAAAUGCAGUCAUGGCCUGGGGGCUGGCAACGCCCCUAGGGCCAACCUUUCCGGCAACGAUCUUGCCGGGAGCCGGCGUCAAGAACGACGAAGUUCUUCGCCAUAAGCCUUUCCAGCAACGAUCUUGCCGGGAGCCGGCGUCAAGAACGACGAAGUUCUUCGCCAUAAGCCUUUCCAGCAACGAUCUUGCCGGGAGCCGGCGUCAAGAACGACGAAGUUCUUCGCUAUAAGCCUUUCCGGCAAGGAUCUUGCCGGGAGCCGGCGUCAAGAACGACGAAGUUCUCGCCAUAAGCCUUUCCGGCAACGAUCUUGCCGGGAGCCGGCGUCAAGAACGAUGAAGUUCUUCGCCAUAAGCCUUUCCGGUAACGAUCUUGCCGGGAGCCGGUGUCAAGAACAACGAAGUUCUUCGCCAAAAGCCUUCCUGGCGACCAGCUUGCCGGAAGCCGGCAUCGAGAACGUCAAAGUUCUCUACUGAAGAUAAAAGCCUUCCUGGCAACAAACUUGCCGGAAGCCGGCAUCGAGAACGUCAAAGUUCUCUGCUGAAGAUAAAAGCCUUCCUGGCAACCAGCUUGCCGGAAGCCCGCAUCGAGAACGUCAAAGUUCUCUGCUGAAGAUAAAAGCCUUCCUGGCAACAAACUUGCCGGAAGCCGGCGUCGAGAACGUCAAAGUUCUCUGCUGAAGAUAAAAGCCUUCCUGGCAACGAGCUUGCCGGAAGCCGGCAUCAAGAACGUCAAAGUUCUCUGCUGAAGAUAAAAGCCUUCCUGGCAACGAGCUUGCCGGAAGCCGGCAUCGAGAACGACAAAGUUCUCUGCUGAAGAUAAAAGCCUUCCCGGCAAGCCAAUAUCGCUGGGGGCUGUGAGUGCCAAGAAUCGCCCACGGCAAACCAGAGUUGCCGAGGGCUGCAAUAUCAGAUAAGUCUUUCAUCCCUCAUCAUGCAUCCUCUUAUGGACUGGGGAACGCGAAACCACGUUCCUUCCCGGAAACUGCCGUGCUCCCUCGACUCUAGGCCCUGGGGCUCGUUCUCGGGACCAAGUUUGGUCGUAGUCGCGGCAGCAAAGGGAUGAAACGAGGAGACCGCACCCACCUCGUUCCUGCCUCCGUCAACAGCGUGAGAAAGGUCGAGCGACGUGGGAAGGCGGCAGGGUCUGUUCCCGGGAGAUGAAAUGUCUGUCUGAGGGAUACCAAGGAUUCGCUCCUUGGCGUGGGUUUAGCUCACGAGACAAAUAACCCGGCAAGCAUCCCCUUUUCAUUAAAAAAAACAUCCCACUCAGGUACAGUCCAUAGAGGAUGAAAAACAUGAAAGAGAGGAUUACAAGUUCAAGAUACAGCUAAGGCCCGAAGGCUUACAAAUUAAAAAGAUAAGAUGCCCGUAAUCCCUUUCCUGUCCCUCUUUUUAGGAGGCAGGUCAAGGAGGCGAAAAGGGCAAAAGGAGUGCCUAGGCGAACUACGGGUGCCAGAAGACACCAAGGGAACAUCCCGGGGGCCGUCCGAAGGCUGGACGGCGACGGCGGCGCUGGAAGCGGGGCUCGAAGACGGGGCGGCAGGACGUCAGCACGCUGUCGAGGGCACCACGCCCUCGUACUCCGACCUGACGGCCUUGUCGCCAGCCCUCUUCCCCUUCUGCAGCCUCCCUACACCAGCCGCCCAAGGAGACGACCCCGGGGAGUUCAAGAAGCCGGCGACGCGGAUGAUGGGGUCGCCGGUGCCGUGCAAAGCGGCGUCCGACGCCUAGUCGGACCCGCCGCUCCGCCACCCGCUGCCCUCAUCGUCGCUGUCACUCCCCUCCUCGUCGCUCUCGCUCGAGGAGGAGCCUUCGCUGUCGGAGGAGCUGUCCACGCAGCACUUCGCCCGAGUGCCGAAGCACCCGAAGGCCUUGACGGAGAGGAGAUCGCCCUCCAUCAACUUAAAAUGGAGGGUAAACCCCUCCGUCAAGCUGUGGAUGCGGGCGAACGUCUUCCACCCUCGAUCAAGAUACAUCACAUUAGGGCUGGGAAUGCAACGCGGACUCGCGUGCCGCUGAUCCCACAGCCCCUCAUGUGCAGUCUCAGCGUCUCGGGCGGGUCCACUUCCAUCGCGCGUGCAAACGGAGCUGGAAGCCGGAGGCGACGACGAGGCGCCCCGCGUAGCCUGACGAAGAACUCGCAAGGGUCGUCCCCUAUAUGGACCGCCUGGGGGGAGGAGCCACCGGCGGAGGUGAAGCUGACGCGCCGCCCCGUCCGCCUCUUCCCCGAGCGCCUUGACCUCGUCCUCGACCUCGUCCACGACCUCGCCCCCUCCCUCUUCCCCUUAUGGCUGGCUCUGCCACCACGGGCGCGGAAGAGGGAGAGAUGCGCUGUCUGGCGGCGACCCUCGCCGCCACCGAUGAAGGGCCUGGGUUCCCUUUCUCCAUGGCAGAUGCGAGAAAGGGGAGCAGAAGCUGAAGAAAGGAGAAGAUGAGAGAGUGCAGGUUUCUGUGCUCCCAUCCCGCUCUUUAUAAAGGAGCGAGGUGGGGGCUCGGCCGCCCCGCUCAGCGAAUCAAGGCACGGGAAGGGCAGGGAGUCGGGGCCAACCCGCUCGCGACGGGCCAGUUUCCCACUCCACCGUCCGUGACCCCAAGCGCAUGGGAGCCGCGUGGCGGGGAUGCAGAACCAAGGUGACGGAUGAGGCGGCCUCGCUCAGCCCCGUGAACGCGGGGAGUGGACGUCCCGAAAACCGCGCACCGGCCCCGUCCAGUAAAUGCACCACGCCCCCACACCUACCUCCAUUUAGGGAGGAGGGCGUGAACCGUCCCCAUCAUCAUGGCCUGACGCAUACUCGGGGGGCUUAGCCCCACGCACGCCACCCACGAUCUCACCCACGACGCCGCAUUUGACGCGUGCCGUUCUGGGCGUGCGCGGUGGGAGCGGAGAGAUAUGCAGUGUGACGUAGGCCGCGCAUGCCCGUGCACUGUUUUGGGCCUGGCCCAACAGCGCUCGGCAUCGUGUAUGGCCCAGGCCCGGGGGCUCCUGUCGGUGUACUAGAGUAGGGGUACCCUAUUACCCCGAACUCGUGCACGGGCAGUUGCAGCGCCCCGUGGCAAGGCUUGCCGGGUGACCGCCAGGACCCUCCGUGGUUCCCUUGAAGACCAUUCAAGAACAAAGUACUCAAACCAAGGCCCCGGCAAAAGGAGCUUGCCGGGAAGGCCAACCAUGGCCCCGGCAAGAGGAGCUUGCCGGGAAGGCCAACCAAGGCCCCGGCAAGAGGACCUUGCCGGGAAGAGACAAGACCCCGGCAAGAGGAGCUUGCCGGGAAGGCCACUCAAGGCACACCAAGAAAGCUUGCCGCGACGCACCCUGCGUCCCGGCAAGAUCCGGCGAGCGACAAGUUUCCGAACGCGACAAGACGACGACCGUGACAAGGAGUUUGCCGCGGGAAACCCCCACUUCGUGCGUGCGCUCCAGCAUACCUGCUAACGUGUCGCUCUAGGGCUCUCCCAAGCACACGUGGCAGGAGGCCGUGCAGCUAAGGGUACGUGGUGGCAAGCAGAGAUGAAGAGAAGCCCAUCAUGGCAAACGGUGGCGCUCCUAACGGUCACCUUUUGCACUAUUUAGGAGACUCAGACAGGCAUUUAAUGCCCUUGUCCCCUGCCGUCAGAGUUAGGUAGGGCGCACUGUAUCCACAGUAAACGGUAGCUGCACCUACCGCAUCCUUUUCCAUUUUUACCCUUCUAGUCUACGUUGCCACCUGUGGGUAACCCCUUGAAAGUAUAAAAGGAGGCCCAAGCGCAACGAAGAAGGGGUUCCGAAGGUUCGGCCAGUUCGGCUCAUUCAACACCAGGAACACUCUCACGCUCAGUCUGGCAGCGUCCAUCGCUCCUGAGCAAGAAUCCAAUAUACACAAACAAGCAGCAGUAGGGUUUUACGCAUCCGUGCGGCCCGAAGCUGGGUAAAAUCGCCCGCGUGUACUGCCUCGAUCCGCUCUUUGUGCGCUCUCCGCCCCCCACCGAAUCGAAAGGGGCCCUGUCCCCAUAGGUGUUGGUGGAAUCAGCAUCGCCCCCGACAGGGAGGAAGGAGGCCUGCACCGCCAAAAUCCAGAGUUUGGGACGCUCCGGAGGACCGCACUGUCCUCACGAGCGACAACUGAUGGCUGAUCUGCAUCAGACGGCAGCACCAAGCAUUGCCACUAUCUCCGACGUCCACAACACAGACUGCGAACCAUGUGAUGUAGGAAAUCGCUGUUGUCGCCCGAUCGGAAGUUCAAAACUCCUCUGACGAUGAUAUCUGUCCACCAAUAAGGUCUGGGGCAGUGCUAGCCAGCAUCAUACUAGCCAGAUCCAUGGCGUCACCGGCCUUCCGCCGGAGCGGAGGACCACCAUGGUUGCAAAGUUGUUGCAUGCUGUUGACAGGGUUGGUAAUGUAGGGAAAAAACUGCCAUGUUAUUUUUCAACUUUUUGUUCUCAAAGAUGGACAAACAUGAAUGAUACCACGGUAGUAGCAGAGUCAUAGCCAGCCACGCAACGGCGGAGCUUNNNNNNNNNNNNNNNNNNNNNNNNNNNNNNNNNNNNNNNNNNNNNNNNNNNNNNNNNNNNNNNNNNNNNNNNNNNNNNNNNNNNNNNNNNNNNNNNNNNNNNNNNNNNNNNNNNNNNNNNNNNNNNNNNNNNNNNNNNNNNNNNNNNNNNNNNNNNNNNNNNNNNNNNNNNNNNNNNNNNNNNNNNNNNNNNNNNNNNNNNNNNNNNNNNNNNNNNNNNNNNNNNNNNNNNNNNNNNNNNNNNNNNNNNUUUUAUUACCCCUACGUAGAGUAGUACUAGAUGCAGCCUAGAACCAGAUGAUCCAUUUAUCAAUCAACAAUACUAGUCUACGGUGCUUGGAGACGAACCAAUCCGGCAUCCAGGCACGAGUUAGGCAGCGGCCUGAUUUCCCCUUUGACCGUGAGCGUGGGGUGGGGCAGCGGCGUCCGGCAGACUGGCAGCCGUGGCUUGCCGGCGUGGGGGUGACCUCUGGCCGCCGGCCAGCUAGCCGCUAGGGAUUCGCCUCGCUGGAUCAUCCGCUCCUUUCUCUGCUGCGGACAACAUCAGGCAAGGCAACGUCGAUGCUGCGCAGUCCUUAGUGAGCCGGUGAGCAGACUGCCCUCGCUGCCUCGCUGGAUCUCUCUCGAUCUCUCCCCUCUAGAAAUUGUGGAUAGUUCAAAACUUUUGAUUCUGCGGAUUUUUUCACAUUAGUUGAGCAAAAUUCUAAUUAGGUCACCUCGUCAUGGAUUUUGUCAAUUGGAUUUUGCACUGAAUAGAGAAUGUUCUUUACAGAGUGAGAGGGAGGCAGUGAUGCUUAAGGGGAAAACAACUGAUGCGUUCUUUAAAAGAAAUAGAGGUGAUUCAGCUGAAUGCAAAGCUAAUGAACCAAUAUCAAACGAAUCAAUACACGUUCAGCCUCCUCUGUUGUUGUUCGAAUUUGAGCAACACGAACCACAUCCUUCGAUGCCUCAACAGCAAGGCUUCGUAAUACUAUGGAAGAUUAUUUUCUAGCCAAUAGCUUGCUAGUAAAUAGAGAGGGUGAAAUCACGAAUAAAUACGAAUAUGAAGAUGUUGUUAUGGACUUUAAGGGUGCAAAAAAUGAAGAGCUGAUCUCUAAUGAACCCAAUGAUCCAUGGUUAAAUGGUAUUUUGCUAUAGCUAUGGAGUAGGUUAUAAAUAUAUAAUUAACACUAGAAAUGUAUUUUGUAAGCCAAUAUUGAGAAGAUCAAUAUAAUUAUCUAAUUUUCUCAAUAUUUUGUAAUAUCUAACUUGUUGUAUUCGUAUGAUUUUGUAUAUGGUUUUUCUUUUACAGCUUCGCCCCUCCAGAGAUUUCUUUGAAGCUCCGCCACUGCAGCCACAGUAGUGUUUCUGUGUUGUUAGGAGAUGGUUGGAAUUUUGUUACCAUGGCAUGGCCUCGGAGUGAAUUGCGAAAAACCACCAUAUUUGGGGCUUCAUCUGCGGAAAACCACCAGGUCACUAAUUUUUUGCAACAAUCAACGUGGAUUCGGUAAACAUUUUGCAAGUCGCACUGAUCAGGUGAUUUGGCUCAUUUGAUCAUUUUCUGACAAGUGGGACCAGAUUGUAAGGAGCUGACUUGGCAUAACAUUUACACACACACCCUUAGAUCUAAAAAGAAAAAGCAAUCAACCCCUCUUUUGCACAACUGCCAGAGAGAGGAGAGGCGGAAGCGUUCCCGGCGAGGCCGACCUCGUCGGCGCAGACGGCCGCACAGUGGAGGAGGUCCUUGCGGAGAGCUCCUUGACGGUGCCGGCGGGGUCGGGCCCAUGCGCCGCCGCGCGGUUGGAGUUAGGCGGUUGCUCGGCCAUGGCCUCGCGCUCAUGUGCUGCUGUCCACGCCACACACAGGCAGCGGAGGAGCUCACCGUCGUUGGUCGCUGCUUGCUCCGGUGAUGCGUCCGAGCUGCACGCCGCCGCGCAGCAGCUGCUGCUUGUGCUCGUGUUGUGCUUCGCUUCUUGCUUUGGUGUUCUGCGCUGCCCCGCUGCUUGCUCCGGGGCUGCGCGCCACCGGCCGGGGAAAGAGAGGAGGGAGGAAGGAGAAAGGGAGGCGUGGGUGCAUCNNNNNNNNNNNNNNNNNNNNNNNNNNNNNNNNNNNNNNNNNNNNNNNNNNNNNNNNNNNNNNNNNNNNNNNNNNNNNNNNNNNNNNNNNNNNNNNNNNNNNNNNNNNNNNNNNNNNNNNNNNNNNNNNNNNNNNNNNNNNNNNNNNNNNNNNNNNNNNNNNNNNNNNNNNNNNNNNNNNNNNNNNNNNNNNNNNNNNNNNNNNNNNNNNNNNNNNNNNNNNNNNNNNNNNNNNNNNNNNNNNNNNNNNNNNNNNNNNNNNNNNNNNNNNNNNNNNNNNNNNNNNNNNNNNNNNNNNNNNNNNNNNNNNNNNNNNNNNNNNNNNNNNNNNNNNNNNNNNNNNNNNNNNNNNNNNNNNNNNNNNNNNNNNNNNNNNNNNNNNNNNNNNNNNNNNNNNNNNNNNNNNNNNNNNNNNNNNNNNNNNNNNNNNNNNNNNNNNNNNNNNNNNNNNNNNNNNNNNNNNNNNNNNNNNNNNNNNNNNNNNNNNNNNNNNNNNNNNNNNNNNNNNNNNNNNNNNNNNNNNNNNNNNNNNNNNNNNNNNNNNNNNNNNNNNNNNNNNNNNNNGGUCGCCGGAGUGGCGCGGGGGUUGGGCAGCUCGGGGCCUCUCCCGAUCCAGACGGGAUCGAGGCAGGGGGCGGAGGAGGGCCUGAUUGUUUUUUGUUUUUACAAUUCAGGGGUGUGUCUGUCAAAACUUUGCCUAGUCAGCUCCUUACAAUCUGAUCCCACUUGUCAGAAAGUGAUCAAAUGAGCCAAAUCACCCGAUCAGUGUGAUUUGCAAAAUGUUUACUGAAUCCGCGGUGAUUUUUGCAAAAAAAUAGUGAUCUGAUGGUUUUCCGCAGAUGAAGCCCUAAAUGUGGUGGUUUUUCGCAAUUCACUCCAUGGCCUCGACAUCAACUUUCAUUUCCGGUCAGCUUUGCAGCCAUCUUAGAUGCUGAAAUUUAACUCAGUUUAGCUUUGAUUCACUUAGGGAAGGCACCGGACAAGUGCACGACACAGAACCAGUUCCUCCGCCCAGAUCAGCCUAAAUCCUUUGGAUGUUUAGAUCAUCCCUUCUAAGAGGUAUCAAAUCCAUUUGCCAAAAUUGGCCGUCAGCCCACAUAUUUCACCAGAAGUUGAACGUAUACCUACAGCUGUUCUGAUCUCAUAUUUGAUAAGAUUCGUAAAUAAAACAACAUCCACUUCAUUCUCUAAUGCCUCUCAUGCCUAGUCCCGCUACAAGCAUCGAAAGGUAAUCAUGGCGAGAUAAACUUCAAGUCAGCCAGGCGCCAGCUUGUCACAAUCUUUUAAGUUGGGCAUCCUUUGUCCCUCUUUAUAGGAAAAGUGAUGGACCAUGAUCUGACGCCUUAUAGACGGGAAAGUUUACAAUACAAUAGACGUUGUAUUGAUAGAGUGCUGGUGCACGUAUAUAUAAUUAUCAGAGGCGGAGGCAGUGGGCGGGGGAGGGGGCGAGCGGGGGCCAGCCCCUCAUGGAUCGGCCACCCCCAACAAGUUUCAGCGGGGACUAGUACUAGUUAUUAGGCUUAAUUACUCCGGCCAUUAGCAAGGAUAUGAGCUAAGUUUUAAGUGUCAAAGCCCAACAACGCAACAACGGCCAGGCUGCACGUACCUACCCAAUACACACCAUCCAUCCGCUGCACUAAUGCAUUGUGGGCUUGUGGCGACUUCCUAGACUACACAUAUUCCGCGCCGACGCUGUGCACGACGCACUAGGCGGCUAGGGUUAGCGCUGCAUCGAGCACUAAACAUCAUCGCCGCUGGGCAUCCGUGCUGUCGACGUUCCAUGUUUAGCAAAGCUGUUGGGCUGUCGCUCAUCAAUCCAGCGCAAUUCUAUGGGACGUCACCGCCACACUCAAUUCGUCUAACUUGAUCUGAGGUAGAGGUAUUAUUGUUUAUAGAUUUAUAAUAUUUCAGCGUCAUUUUUUAUCACACAAACCAAUCAAACAAUAGUUAGUAGUUAAUUCAUUUUGUUGGUUAUCAGACCAGUUAACAGAUUAUGUAUCUAUUUGUACUAGAAUUGCAUAGAUCAUAAAGAGGAACACCACCCACCAACCUACUUUUGAAGAUGCAAAUCCAAUCAUAGAGAUACAUGCCACAAAGCAACCUACUGGACAUAACAGGUAAAACUUCGGCACAUUCAAUGAUUGAUAGAUUAUUACAAUUGGUCAUCUCUCUCCCAGUCUCAAUUGCAAAUAUGGAGCCUUUUUUUAGUAAUCAAACUUAUCAAUACGCGCCUUUGAAAUAAAAUGGGUGACGGUUUUGUUCGAUAUUACAUGGUGGUAUACAUUGGGAAGGAAAUAGUUGCGAGGUCAAUGUUUAUGAGAUUAAUGAUUUGUUCGAUCGGCUGGGAUGAGGUCGUAGAUCAUUCAAACUAGUGAGUAGAAAUGUAGCUUUUUUAAUGUAAAAAACGUUCUGGUAUGUGUUUGAUAUUGCUACAAUAUUUAAGACUUGAAAUAUGUUUGUGACAUUGUUCAUGUGUGUUUCAAUGCCUUCUUCACCCCCCCUAUGCUUAAAUCCUGGCUCCGCCCCUGAUAAUUACAAUGGAAGGCCUCUACCUUAACUAUACAAGACUAGGAGGUGGGCCACAACUCCAAUAUANNNNNNNNNNNNNNNNNNNNNNNNNNNNNNNNNNNNNNNNNNNNNNNNNNNNNNNNNNNNNNNNNNNNNNNNNNNNNNNNNNNNNNNNNNNNNNNNNNNNNNNNNNNNNNNNNNNNNNNNNNNNNNNNNNNNNNNNNNNNNNNNNNNNNNNNNNNNNNNNNNNNNNNNNNNNNNNNNNNNNNNNNNNNNNNNNNNNNNNNNNNNNNNNNNNNNNNNNNNNNNNNNNNNNNNNNNNNNNNNNNNNNNNNNNNNNNNNNNNNNNNNNNNNNNNNNNNNNNNNNNNNNNNNNNNNNNNNNNNNUCCUCGAAGACAGAAGUAGGCAAUCCCUUAGUCAUCACAUCAGCAAAUUGUUGCGACGUCGGCACGUGAAGAACCCGAACACGGCCAAAGGCAACCCGCUCACACACGAAGUGAAUAUCGAGUUCAAUAUGCUUCGUACGUCGAUGGUGCACCGGGUUGGCGGAAAGGUAAACCGUGCUGACGUUAUCGCAGUAGACAAGAGUGGCCUUAUGAACGUCACGAAGCAACUCCUGGAGUAGAUGACGGAGCCAAGAGCACUCGGCCACGACAUUAGCCACGACACGAUACUCUGCCUCGGCACUGGAGCGGGAGACCAUGGGCUGCCGCUUCAAUGACCAAGAGAUCAACGAGGGCCCAAGGUAGAUGCAGUAGCCUGACGUGGAGCGUCGAGUAUCGGGGCAGCCAACCCAGUCGGCAUCCAAGUAGGCCACGAGGUCGGUGGAGGCGGAGACCGUCAGGGUGAGUCCCAAAGACAUGGUGCCACGUAUAUAACGGAAAAUACACUUCACCAAGGUCCAGUAGGAGUCAUGCGGAGCGUGCAUGUGGAGGCACACCUGCUGAAUAGCGUACUGCAGGUCGGAUCGAGUCAGCGUCAGGUACUGUAAACCACAACCAAUGGAGAGAUAAAACGCUCCAUCGGACAUGGGAGACCCCUCCAAAGCAGAGACAUUCGCCUUCGUGUCGACAGGGGUGGGCACCGGCUUGCAGUUAAGCAUACCGGCACGCUCCAGGAGCUCAUGGGCGUACUUCUUCUGAUGCAGAAAGAAGCCGUCAGUCCGGCGGACCACCUCGAUGCCGAGGAAGUAGUGCGUGCAGGGGGCCCCAAGUUCUUGAGGGCGAACUCAUCACGAAGACGAGCAGUCAACCGUUGAAGGAGAUCGGGGGCGGACGCCGUGAGGAUGAUGUCAUCGACGUAGAGCAGCAGAUAUGCAGUGUCAGCUCCCUGAUGAUACACGAAGAGUGAGGCAUUGGAGCGAGUGGACCGAAAUCCCAGAGACUGCAGGAAGGUUGUGAUACGCUGGUACUAGGCCCAAGGCGCUUGGUUCAACCCGUAAAGAGAACGGGAGAGCAAGCACACAAAGUCUGGGUGCUCGGCAUCGACGAAGCCAGUGGGCUGCUCGCAGUACACCUGCUCGGCGAGAUGGCCAUGCAAGAAGGCGUUGGAGACAUCCAACUAGUGCAUAGGCCAAGCGCGCGAGACCGCCAAUUGGAGCACGGCGCGGAUCGUGCCCGGUUUGACAACCGGGGUAAAAGUGUUGGUAAAAUCCACGCCCGCGCGCUGCCGAAAUCCACGAACCACCCACCGCGCCUUGUAGCGCUCGAGAGAACCAUCCGGACGAGUCUUGUGGUGAAACUGAAGGAAAUAUGCCCUAGAGGCAAUAAUAAAGUUGUUAUUUAUAUUUCCUUAUAUCAUGAUAAAUGUUUAUUAUUCAUGCUAGAAUUGUAUUAACCAGAAACUUAGUACAUGUGUGAAUACAUAGACAAACAUAGUGUCCCUAGUAUGCCUCUACUUGACUAGCUCGUUAAUCAAAGAUGGUUAAGUUUCCUAGCCAUGGACAUGUGUUGUCAUUUGAUGAACGGGAUCACACCAUUAGAGAAUGAUGUGAUGGACAAGACCCAUCCGUUAGCUUAGCACGAUGAUCGUUUAGUUUGUUGCUAUUGCUUUCUUCAUGACAUAUACAUGUUCCUAUGACUAUGAGAUUAUGCAACUCCCGAGUACCGGAGGAACACUUUGUGUGCUACCAAACGUCACAACGUAACUGGGUGAUUAUAAAGGUGCUCUACAUGUGUCUCCAAUGGUGCUUGUUGAGUUGGCAUAGAUCGAGAUUAGGAUUUGUCACUCCGAUUGUCGGAGGGGUAUCUCUGGGCCCUCUCGGUAAUGCACAUCACUAUAAGCCUUGCAAGCAUUGUGACUAAUGAGUUAGUUGCGGGAUGAUGCAUUACGAAACGAGUAAAGAGACUUGCCGGUAACGAGAUUGAACUAGGUAUGAGGAUACCGAUGAUCGAAUCUCGGGCAAGUAACAUACCGAUGACAAAGGGAACAACGUAUGUUGUUAUGCGGUUUGACCGAUAAAGAUCUUUGUAGAAUAUGUAGGAGCCAAUAUGAGCAUCCAGGUUCCGCUAUUGGUUAUUGACCGGAGACAUGUCUCGGUCAUGUCUACAUAGUUCUUGAACCCGUAGGGUCCGCACGCUUAACGUUCAGUGACGAUUGGUAUUAUGAGUUUAUGUGAUUUGAUGCACCGAAGGUUGUUCGGAGCCCCGGAUGAUAUCACGGACAUGACGAGGAGUCUCGAAAUGCUCGAGCCGUAAAGAUCGAUAUAUUGGAAGGCUAUAUUCGGACAUCGAAAAGGUUCUGAGUGAUCCGGGUAUUUUUCGGAGUACCGGGGGAGUUACGGGAAUACGGGAGUACAUAUGGGCCUUAGUGGGCUUUAAGGGAAAAAGAGGAGAAGCCACGAGGGCUGGCCGUGCCCCCCCCAUGGGCCUAGUCCGAAUUGGACUAGGGGAGGGGCUGCGCCCCCUCUUUUCUUCUCCUUCCUUUCCCCUCCUAGUAGGACUAGGAAAGGAGGAAUCCUACUGCUACUAGGAGGAGGAUUCCUCCCCCUUGGCGCGCCUAGAGAGGCCGUCCGGCCUCCCGUCCCUCCUUUACAUACAUGGGGAUAGGGCACCCUAGGACACCCAAGUUGAUCAGUUGAUCUUUUAGCCGUGUGCGGUGCCCCACUCCACCAUAAUCCACCUCAGUCAUACCGUAGCGGUGCUUAGGCGAAGCCCUGCGUCGGUAGCAUCAUCAUCACCGUCAUCAUGCCGUCGUGCUGAUGGAAAUCUCCCUCGAAGCACUGCUGGAUCGGAGUUCGUGGGACGUCACCGAGCUGAACGUGUGCUGAACUCGGAGGUGCCGUACGUUCGGUACUUGGAUCGGUCGGAUCGUGAAGACGUACGACUACAUCAACUGCAUUCUGAUAACGCUUCCGCUUAUGGUCUACGAGGGUACGUGGACGACACUCUCCCCUCUCAUUGCUAUGCAUCACCAUGAUCUUGUGUGUGCGUAAUAUUUUUUUUUUGAAAUUACCGCGUUUCCCAACAGUGGCAUCCGAGCCAGGUUUAUGCGUAGAUGUUAUAUGCACGAGUAGAACACAAAGGAGUUGUGGGUGUGGGUAUAUACAUAUUGCUUGCUGUCACUAGUUGUUUCUUGAUUCGACAGUAUUGUUGGAUGAAGAGGCCCAGACCGACAUUAUGCGUACGCUUACGCGAGACUGGUUCUACCGACGUGCUUCACACACAGGUGGCUAGUGGGUGUCUGUUUCUUUAGCUUUAGUUGAAUCGAAUUCAAUGAAUAGGGUUCUUUCUGAAGAUCAAAAAGCAAUCACUAUACCGCGUUGUGGUUUUUGAUGCGUUGGUAAGAACGGUUCUUGCUCAACCCAAUAGCCACGUAAAACUUGCAACAACAAAGUAGAGGACGUCUAACUUGUUUUUGUAGGGCAUGUUGUGAUGUGAUAUGGUCAAGACAUGAUGCUAAAUUUUAUUGUAUGAGAUGAUCAUGUUUUGUAACAUAGUUAUCGGCAACUGGCAAGAGCCAUAUGGUUGUCGCUUUAUUGUAUGAAAUGCAAUCGCCAUGUAAUUGCUUUACUUUAUCACUAAGCGGUAGCGAUAGUCGUAGAAGCAAUAGUUGGCGAGACAACAACGAUGCUACGAUGGAGAUCAAGGUGUCGCGCCGGUGACGAUGGUGAUCAUGACGGUGCUUUGGAGAUGGAGAUCAAAGGCACAAGAUGAUAAUGGCCAUAUCAUAUCACUUAUAUUGAUUGCAUGUGAUGUUUAUCCUUUAUGCAUCUUAUUUUGCUUAGAUCGACGGUAGCAUUAUAAAAUGAUCUCUCACUAAAUUUCAAGGUAUAAGUGUUCUCCCUGAGUAUCCACCGUUGCGAAAGUUCGUCGUGCCGAGACACCACGUGAUGAUCAGGUGUGAUAAGCUCUACGUUCACAUACAAUGGGUGCAAGCCAGUUUUGCACACGCGGAAUACUCGGGUUAAACUUGACGAGCUUAGCAUAUGCAAAUAUGGCCUCGGAACACCGGAGACCGAAAGGUCGAGCGUGAAUCAUAUAGUAGAUAUGAUCAACAUACUGAUGUUCGCCAUUGAAAACUACUCCAUCUCACGUGAUGAUCGGACGUGGUUUAGUUGAUAUGGAACACGUGAUCACUUAGAUGGUUAGAGGGGUGUCUGUCUAAGUGGGAGUUCUUAAGUAAUUUGAUUAAUUGAACUUUAAUUUAUCAUGAACUUAGUCCUGAUAGUAUUUGCAUAACUAUGUUGUAGAUCAAUAGCUCGCGAUGUAGCUCCCCGUUUAUUUUUUGAUAUGUUCCUAGAGAAAAACUAUGUUGAAAUAUGUUAGUAGCAAUGAUACAGAUUGGAUCCGUGAUCUGAGGAUUAUCCUCAUUGUUGCACAGAAAAAUUAUGUCCUUGAUGCACCGCUAGGUGACAGACCGAUUACAGGAGCAGAUGCAGACGUUAUGAACGUUUGGCGAGCUCGAUAUGAUGACUACUUGAUAGUUUAGUGCACCAUGCUUUACGGCUUAGAAUCGGGGCUUCAAAAAUGUUUUGAACGCCACGGAGCAUAUGAGAUGUUCCAAGAGUUGAAAUUAGUAUUUCAGACUCAUGCCCAUGUCGAAAGGUAUGAGACCUUUGACAAGCACUUUGCCUACAAGAUGGAAGAGAAUAGCUCAGUCAGUGAGCAUAUGCUCAGAAUGUCUGGGUACUACAAUCACCUGAAUCAAGUGGGAGUUAAUCUUCCAGAUAAGAUAGUGAUUGACAGAGUUCUCUAGUCACUAUCACCAAGUUACUGAAACUUCGUGAUGAACUAUAAUAUGCAAGGGAUAACAGAAAUGAUUACCAAGCUCUUCAUGAUGUUGAAAUCGAUGAAGGUAGAAAUCAAGAAAAGCACCAAGUGUUGAUGGUUGACAAGACCACUAGUUUCAAGAAAAGGGCAAAGGGAAGAAAGGGAACUUCAAGAAGAACGACAAGCAAGUUGUUGCUCAAGUGAAGAAGCCCAAGUCUAGACCUAAGCCUGAGACUAAGUGCUUCUACUACAAAGGGACUGGUCACUUGAAGCAAAACUGGCCCAAGUAUUUGGCGGAUAAGAAGGAUGGCAAAGUGAACAAAGGUAUAUUUGAUAUACAUGUUAUUGAUGUGUACUUUACUAGUGUUUAUAGCAACCCAUCAGUAUUUGAUACUAGUUCAGUUGCUGAGAUUAGUAACUCGAAACGGGAGUUGCAGAAUAAACAGAGACUAGUUAAGGGUGAAGUGACGAUGUGUGUUGGAAGUGGUUCCAAGAUUUAUAUGAUCAUCAUCGCACACUCCCUAUACUUUCGGGAUUAGUGUUGAAUCUAAAUAAAUGUUAUUUGGUGUUUGCGUUAAGCAUGAAUAUGAUUUGAUCAUGUUUAUUGCAAUAUGGUUAUUCAUUUAAAAUCAAAGAAUAAUUGUUGUUCUGUUUACAUGAAUAAAACCUUCAAUGGUCAUACACCCAAGGUGAAUGGUUUAUUGAAUCUCGAUUGUAGUGAUACACAUAUUCAUAAUAUUGGUGCCAAAAGAUGCAAAGUUAAUAAUGAUAGUGCAACUUAUGUGUGCCACUGCCAUUUAGGUCAUAUUGGUGUAAAGCGCAUGAAGAAAAUCCAUGCUGAUGGGCUUUCGGAAUCACUUGAUUAUGAAUCAUUUGAUGAUUGCGAACCAUACCUCAUGGGCAAGAUGACUAAGACUCCGUUCUCCGGAACAAUGGAGCAAGCAACAGACUUGUUGGAAAUAAUACAUACUGAUGUAUGCAGUCCGAUAAGUGUUGAGGCUCACGGCAAGUAUCGUUAUUUUCUGACCUUCAUAGAUGAUUUGAGUAAGAUAUGGGUAUAUUUUCUUGAUGAAACAUAAAUCUGAAACAUUUGGAAAGUUCAAAUAAUUUCAGAGUGAAGUGGAAAAUCAUCGUAACAAGAAAAUAAAGUUUCUACGAUCUGAUCAUGGAGGAGAAUAUUUGAGUUACGAGUUUGGUCUUCAUUUGAAACAAUGCGGAAUAGUUUCGCAACUCACGCCACCUGGAACACCAUAGCGUAAUGAUGUGUCCGAACAUCGUAAUCGUACUUUAUUAGAUAUGGUGCAAUCUAUGAUGUUUCUUACCGAUUUACCACUAUCGUUUUGGGGUUAUGCAUUAGAGAUAGCUGCAUUCACGUUAAAUAGGGCACCAUCUAAAUUCGUUGAGACGACGCCAUAUGAACUGUGCUUUGGCAAGAAACCAAAGUUGUAGUUUUUUAAAGUUUGGAGUUGCGAUGCUUAUGUGAAAAAGUUUCAUCCUGAUAAGCUCAAACCCAAAUCGAAAAAAUGUGUCUUCAUAUGAUACCCAAAGGAGACAGUUGGGUACACCUUCUAUCACAGAUCCGAAGGCAAGACAUUCGUUGCUAAGAAUGGAUCCUUUCUAGAGAAGGAGUUUCUCUCAAAAGAAGUGAGUGGGAGGAAAGUAGAACUUGAUGAGGUAACUGUACCUGCUCCCUUGUUGGAAAGUAGUUCAUCACAGAAAUCUGUUGAUACGUAUCCACCGUAUCUAUAAUUUUUGAUUGCUCCAUGCUAUAUUAUCUACUGUUUUGGACAUUAUUGGGAUUUAUUAUCCACUUUUAUAUUAUUUUUGGAACUAACCUAUUAACCGGAGGCCCAGCCCAGAAUUGCUGCUUUUUGCCUAUUUUAGGGUUUCGAAGAAAAGGAAUACCAAACGGACACUACUAGGGAAAACCUUAUACACAGAACUUUAGCAGUAGCUCGGGUCAAAGAAGCACGCUGGUGCUAAGUAGCAGUAGCACGCCUGUGCAAACCGCGUUGUUGAUAAAGUUUUAGCAGUAGCGCGUCUUGUUCUAAACACGUUACUACUAAAAUUCCCACGGCUUAGCCGAUAGGCUACGCAUAGUAGUAGCGACCUAUAUCGAACCGCGCUACCGCUACUUUCUUUGUAGAAGCGCGUUUUAAUCUAAACUCGCUACUACUAAAGGAUAUAAAAUUAAAUGGAAAGCACAUAGAAAGGUAAUUGAAAAUGAAAGAAAUAGAAUAAGGUGAAAGGAAAUAAAAUAGAAUGUGAAGAAAACUAAAUGAAAAAGGGGAAAAAAGAGAAAGGAGUAGCAGUAGCGUGUAUCCCAGAACGCGCUGUAGCUAACAUAGCAGUAGCGCGCUUUCUGGAACGCUCUACUGCUACUUCUGACUUAACCACGUGGUUCGUCCUUCCCUACGGCCACUUCCCCCAAAUCCAGCUCUUCACUCUCGCCGCCGCUGUCGCCUGUCGGCCACUGCACGCUCUCCGCACACCCUCUACGCCGCCCCGACCCCAGAUUCUACGCCGCCCCCGCCCCGACCUCAACACCGCCCCGGACGCCGCCCCGACCCUGACCUCGACGCCGCCAUUCGCCGCGUGCCCGAGCCCCGACCCCGACCUCGACGCCGCCUGCCCCUCCCUCAUCGCAGACACCCGAGGUGAGCACGCCUGCUCCUCCCUCUCCCCUAACUCUGCCUAGGGUUUCUUUAUAUUUUUGUUGCAUCAAAUUAGUUAGUGUUCAUGUAAGGGUGGAAACGAAUCGGAUGCAGAUGCGGCUCAAAUGAGUUAGGGUUCAUGUAAGGGUGGAAACGAAUCAAAUUUCUAAGAUGAAUCAUAAAAUGAGUAAAAUUUGACCACUUAUUUCACUUUAUAGUUGGAUAAUUGGAAUAUCAGCUACCACUUUCCACCCCUAGCUUCAUCAAAUUAGAUGGUAAUUAGGGCAUUAGUUCCUAAGUACUAAUUAGUUAGUAAGAACUAGGUACUAAUCAGGUACUAGUUUAUUUUUAUUUAUAGUAAGUUUAUUUUUAAUAAGAACUAGUUGAAUUAAUAGAACUAGUUAAUAAGAACUUGUUGCUAUUUUUUUAGUUAAAGCAAUUUUUCCCGCAUCAACGUGGACGAUGCCUAUCCCGCAUCCUCGUCGUCGAGUCAGCGGAGGACGACACCUGCUUGACCAGAUGGGCCAUGUCCGGGACUGGGCUUCGCCGGGGUGGUACUGGGAGGCGCUACCUAUCGGGGGGUGCAGGUUGGUGAGGAGCCAGCCUGUCAUUGACCCGAACCUUCUUUGGUGGCGGUCGCUGAUACGUCUCCAACGUAUCUAUAAUUUUUGAUUGCUCCAUGCUAUAUUAUCUACUAUUUUGAAUGUUUAUGGGCUUUAUUAUACAUUUUAUAUCAUUUUUGGGACUAACCUAUUAACCCAGAGCCCAUUGCCAGUUUCUGUUUUUACCCUGUUUUAGGGUUUCGAAGAAAAGGAAAAUCAAACGGAGUCCAAUUGACCUGAAACUUCACGGAACUCAUUUUUGGAAGGAAAGAAGCCCAGAAGACUUGGAGUGCACGUCGGGGGAUCUGCGAGGAGGCCACGAGGCAGGGGGCGCACCCUCCACCCUCGUAGCCCCCCUGACGUACUUCUUCCGCCUAUAUAUCUCCAUAUACCCUAAAAACAUCCGAGGGCACAAUAGAUCGGGAGUUCCGCCGCCAGAAGCCUCCGUAGCCACCGAAAGCCAAUCUAGACCCGUUCCGGCACCCUGCCGGAGGGGGCAAUCCCUCUCCGGUGGCAUCUUCAUCAUCCCGGUGCUCUCCAUGACGAGGAGGGAGUAGUUCUCCCUCGGGGCUGAGGGUAUGUACCAGUAGCUAUGUGUUUGAUCUCUCUCUCUCUCUCGUGUUCUUGAGAUGAUACGAUCUUGAUGUAUCGCGAGCUUUGCUAUCAUAUUUGGAUCCUAUGAUGUUUCUCCCUCCCUCUACUCUCUAGUAAUGAAUUGAGUUUCCCCUUUGAAGUUAUCUUAUCGGAUUGAGUCUUUAAAGAUUUGAGAACACUUGAUGUAUGUCUUGCCGUGGAUAUCUGUGGUGACAAUGGGAUAUCACGUGAUUCACUUGAUGUAUGUUUUGGUGAUCAACUUGCGGGUUCCGCCCAUGAACCUAUGCAUAGGGGUUGGCACACGUUUUCGUCGUGAUUCUCCGGUAGAACUUUGGGGCACUCUUUGAGGUCCUUUGUGUUGGUUGAAUAGAUGAAUCCGAGAUUGUGUGACGCAUAUCGUAUAAUCAUACCCACGGAUACUUGAGGUGACAUUGGAGUAUCUAGGUGACAUUAGGGUUUUGGUUGAUUUGUGUCUUAAGGUGUUAUUCUAGUAGGAACUCUAGGGCUGUUUGUGACACUUAUAGGAAUAGCCCAACGGAUUGAUUGGAAAGAAUAACUUUGAGGUGGUUUCGUACCUACCAUAAUCUCUUCGUUUGUUCUCCACUAUUAGUGACUUUGGAGUGACUCUUUGUUGCAUGUUGAGGGAUAGUUAUGUGAUCCAAUUAUGCUAUUAUUGUUGAGAGGACUUACACUAGUGAAAGUAUGAACCCUAGGCCUUGUUUCCUAGCAUUGCAAUAACGUUUACGCUCACUUUUAUCACUUGUUACCUUGCUGUUUUUAUAAUUUCAGAUUAAAAAUACCUUUAUCUACUAUCCAUAUACCACUUGUUUCACCAUCUCUUCGCCGAACUAGUGCACCUAUACAAUUUACCAUUGUAUUGGGUGUGUUGAGGACACAAGAGAGUCUUUGUUAUUUGGUUGCAGGGUUGCUUGAGAGAGACCAUCUUCAUCCUACGCCUCCUACGGAUUGAUAAACCUUAGGUCAUCCACUUGAGGGAAAUUUUCUACUGUCCUACAAACCUCUCCACUUGGAGGCCCAACAACGUCUACAAGAAGAAGGUUGUGUAGUAGACAUCAAGCUCUUUUCUGGCGCCGUUGCCGGGGAGGUGAGUGCUUGAAGGUAUAUCUUUAGAUCUUGCAAUCGAGUCUUUUAGUUUCUUGUUUUAUCACUAGUUUAGUUUAUAAAAAGAAAACUACAAAAAAAUGGAAUUAAGUUUGUCUCAUACGCUUCAUCUUUUUAAUAUCUUUCGUGAGUAUGAUGGAAAGGAAAAUUGUGAUCAAAUGCUAAAAGAAGAAUUACAUAAAAUGUUUGGCACUAAAUAUUUGAAUGAUGAUCAUGAUUGCAAUGUUGUUAGUAUGAAUUCCUUGAAUAUCCAUGAUGCUAAUGAUAUGCAAAGCCACAAGCUUGGGGAAGCUAUGUUUGAUGAAGAUGAUAUUUUUUGUCCCCCAAGUUUUGAUGAGCAAAUUUAUUAUGAUGAAAGCAUGCCUACUAUCUAUGAUGAUUAUUGUGAUGACACGUAUGCUUUAAAGAAUAAUAAUAACAAUGAAACUUGUCAUCUUGAUCUUAAUUUUCAAUCACAUGAUAGUUAUUUUGUUGAGUUCGCUCCCACUAUUAUUAAUGAGAAGAAUUUUGCUUGUGUAAAGAGUAAUAAAAUUUCUAUGCUUAUAGAUCAUGAAAAUAAUGCUUUAGGUGCUGGUUAUAUUGUUGAAUUCAUUCAUGAUGCUACUGAAAAUUAUUAUGAGGGAGGAACAUAUGCUUGUAGGAAUUGCAAUAAUAUCAAGUUUCCCCUCUAUAUGCUUAAAAUCUUGAAGUUAUGCUUGUUUUACCUUCCUAUGCAAGUUGAUUCUUGUUCUCAUAAGUUGUUUGCUCACAAAAUCCCUAUGCAUAGGAAGUGGGUUAGACUUAAAUGUGCUAGUCAUAUUCUUCAUGAUGCUCUCUCUAUAUUGCAAUUCUUAUCCUUUAUGUGAGCAUCAUUGAAAUCAUCAUGCCUAGCUAGAGGCGUUAAACGAUAGCGCUUGUUGGGAGGCAACCCAAUUUUAUUUUUGUUCCUUGCUUUUUGUUCCUGUUUAGUAAUAAAUAAUUCAUCUAGCCUCUGUUUAGAUGUGGUUUUAUGCUUUUAAUUAGUGUUUGUGCCAAGUAGAACCUUUGGGAAGACUCGGGGAAAGUCCUUGCGAUCAUGCUGUAAAAAACAGAAACUUUAGCGAUCACGAGAAUUGCUGCCAUUUUUAUUUGGAGAGUGAUAUUUAGUUAAUUAUUUUUUCAGAUGAUUAAUAUAUAAAUUACUCAGGUCCAGCAAUUUAUUUGAGAAUUUUAUGUGUUCCAGAAGUAUACGUUUGAUCCAGAUUACUACAGACUGUUCUGUUUUUGACAGAUUCUGUUUUUCAUGUGGUGUUUACUUAUUUUGAUGAAUCUAUGGCUAGUAAAAGAGUUUAUAAACCAUAGAGAAGUUGGAGUACAGUAGGUUUAACACCAAUAUAAAUAAAUAAUGAGUUCUUUACAGUACCUUGAAGUGGUGAUUUAUUUUCUUAUACUAACGGAGCUUACGAGUUUUCUGUUAAGUUUUGUGUUGUGAAGUUUCCAAGUUUUGGGUAAGGAUUCGACGGACUAUGGAAUAAGGAGUGGCAAGAGCAUAAGAUUGUGGAUGCCCAAGGAACCCAAGGAAAUAUUCAAGGAUAACCAAGAUCCAAGCUUGGGGAUGCCCCGGAAGGCAUCCCCUCUUUCGUCUUCGUUCAUCGGUAACUUUACUUGGAGCUAUAUUUUUAUGCACCACAUGAUAUGUGUUUUCUUGGAGCGUCAAUUUAUUUUGUUAGGAUUUUCUUGCUGUUAUUUAGAACAAUGUUUUGCAUCUUUUAUUUCAAUAAAAGUGGCAUUGAUAGCCUUUACUAUGCCUAUUUUACAAGUCUUCAUGUUGCUGUUUGAAAACAGAAAGUUUACUGCUGUUGCAAUAAUUCCCUAGAAAAUUCAGAAUGUGAUAAAAUGUUGAAACCUUUUUCAUAUUAAGAUCUGAUAAAUUUACUACAGUGGGAAUUUUAUUUCAUAAUUUUUGGAGCUAGGGAAGUAUGGAUGUUGCUGCAUUCUUUACAUACUGUCCUGUUUAGGAAGAUUGCUGUUAUGUUUGCAUUGUUUGCAUAUGUUUGCUUCUUUAAUGAUUCUAUUUGAGGAUAGGACUAUUAAAUAUGCAGAGGCAUUUAGUAUGCAAUGUUGAAUAAUAAUUUUAGUGAUUUUCUACAGUAGAGUAUGAUAAGGUUUUUGCAAUGGUUUAUACUAACUUAUCUCACGAGUCCUUGUUGAGUUUUGUGUGGAUGAAGCUUUUGAGAUUUAGGGAGACCGUGAUAUGAGAGGAAUUAAGGAGACACAAAAGCUCAAGCUUGGGGAUGCCCAAGGCACCCCAAGAUAAUAUUUCAAGAAGUAUCAAGCGUCUAAGCUUGGGGAUGCCCGGGUUGGCAUCCCACCUUUCUUCUUCAACAACUAUCGGUUAGUAUCGGUUGAUCCUAAGUUUUUGCUUCUUCACAUGAUGUUUGCUAUUCUUAGAUGUCAUUUUAUUUAGUUUUUCUUGCUGUUUAAUAAAAUAUCAAGAUCUGAAAUUAUUAAAUGUUAGAGAGUCUUCACAUAGUUUCAUAAUUAUUCGACUACUCAUUGAUCUUCACUUAUAUCUUUUGGAGUAGUUUGUCAUUUGCUCUAGUGCUUCACUUAUAUCUUUUUAGAGCACGGUGGUGGUUUUAUUUUGAAGAAAUAGAUGAAGUCUCAUGCUUCACUUAGAUUAUUUUGAGAGUCUUAAAUAGCAUGGUAAUUUGCUUAAAAUCCCAAUAUGCUUGGUAUGCAAGAUUAAUAAUAAUAAAAAAUUCUCUUAUGAGUGUGUUGAAUACUAAGAGAAGUUUGAUGCUUGAUGAUUGUUUUGAGAUAUGGAGGUAAUAAUAUCAAAGUCAUGCUAGUUGAGUAGUUGUGAAUUUGAGAAAUGCUUGUGUUGAAGUUUCCAAGUCCAGUAGCAUGCACGUAUGGUAAACGUUUUGUAACAAAUAUGAAACAUGAGGUGUUAUUUGAUUGUCUUCCUUAUGAGUGGCGGUCGGGGACGAGCGAUGGUCUUUUCCUACCAAUCUAUCCCCCUAGGAGCAUGCGCGUAGUGCCGAGGUUUUUGAUGACUUGUAGAUUUUUGCAAUAAGUAUGUGAGUUCUUUAUGACUAAUGUUGAGUCCAUGGAUUAUACGCACUCUCACCCUUCCAUCCUUGCUAGCCUCUUCGGUACCGUGCAUUGCCCUUUCUCACAUUGAGAGUUGGUGCAAACUUCGCCGGUGCAUCCGAACCCUGUGAUAUGAUACGCUCUUUCACACAUAAACCUCCUUAUAUCUUCCUCAAAACAGCCACCAUACCUACCUAUUAUGGCAUUUCCAUAGCCAUUCCGAGAUAUAUUUCCAUGCAACUUUCCAUCAUUCUGUUCAUCAUGACACAAUCAUCAUUGUCAUAUUGCUUUGCAUGAUCAUGUAGUUGACAUAGUAUUUGUGGCAAAGCCACCGUUCAUAAUUCUUUCAUACAUGUCACUCUUGGUUCAUUGCAUAUCCCGUACACCGCCGGAGGCAUUCAUAUAGAGUCAUCUUUGUUCUAGUAUCGAGUUGUAAUCAUCGAGUUGUAAAUAAAUAGAAGUGUGAUGAUCAUCAUUAUUAGAGCAUUGUCCCAAGUGAGGAAUAAAAAAAAGAGAAAGGCCAUAAAAAAGACAAGGCCCAAAAAAAAUAGAAAGGCCAUAAAAAAAGAGAAGGCCCAAAAAAAAGAAAAGAGAAAGGCCAUAAAAAAAGAGAAGGCCCAAAAAAAUGAGAGAAAAAGAGAGAAGGGACAAUGUUGCUAUCCUUUUACCAAACUUGUGCUUCAAAGUAGCACCAUGAUCUUCAUAGUAGAGAGUCUCUCAUGUUAUCACUUUCAUAUACUAGUGGGAAUUUUUCAUUAUAGAACUUGGCUUGUAUAUUCCAACAACGGGCCUCCUCAAGUGCCCUAGGUCUUCGUGAGCAAGCAAGUUGGAUGCACACCCACUAGUUUCUUUUGUUUAGCUUUCAUAAAUUUAUAGCUCUAGUGCAUCCGUUGCAUGGAAAUCCCUACUCCUUGCAUUAACAUCAAUCGAUGGGCAUCUCCAUAGCCCAUUGAUUAGCCUCGUUGAUGUGAGACUUUCUCCUUUUUGUCUUCUCCACAUAACCCCCAUCAUUAGAUUCUAUUCCACCCAUAGUGCUAUAUCCAUGGCUCACGCUCAUGUAUUGCGUGAAAGUUUAGUAGUUUGAAAUUAUUAAGGUAUGAAACAAUUGCUUGGCUUGUCAUCGGGGUUGUGCAUGAUGAGAGCAUUCUUGUGCGACGAAAAUGGAGCAUGACUAAACUAUAUGAUUUUGUAGGGAUGAACUUUCUUUGGCCAUGUUAUUUCGAGAGGACAUAAUUGCUUAGUUAGUAUGCUUGAAGUAUUAUCAUUUUUAUGUCAAUACGAACUUUUGUCUUGAAUCUUUCGGAUCUGAAUAUUCAUACCACAAUUAAGAAGAAUCACAUUGAAAUUAUGCCAAGUAGCACUCUGCAUCAAAAAUUCUGUUUUUAUCAUUUACCUACUCGAGGACGAGCAGGAAUUAAGCUUGGGGAUGCUGAUAUGUCUCCAACGUAUCUAUAAUUUUUGAUUGCUCCAUGCUAUAUUAUCUACUGUUUUGAAUGUUUAUGGGCUUUAUUAUACAUUUAAUAUCAUUUUUGGGACUAACCUAUUAACCCAGAGCCCAGUGCCAGUUUCUGUUAUUACCCUGUUUUAGGGUUUCGAAGAAAAGGAAAAUCAAACAGAGUCCAAUUGACCUGAAACUUCACGGAACUCAUUUUUGGAAGGAAAGAAGCCCAGAAGACUUGGAGUGCAUGUCGGGGGAUCUACGAGGAGGCCACGAGGCAGGGGGGCGUGCCCACCCCCCUGGGCGCGCCCUCCACCCUCGUGGGUCCCUCGUGGCCCCCCUGACGUACUUCUUCCGCCUAUAUAUCUCCAUAUACCCUAAAAACAUCCGAGGGCACAAUAUAUCGGGAGUUCCGCCGCCAGAAGCCUCCGUAGCCACUGAAAGCCAAUCUAGACCCGUUUCGGCACCCUGCCGGAGGGGGCAAUCCCUCUCCGGUGGCCAUCUUCAUCAUCCCGGUGCUCUCCAUGACGAGGAGGGAGUAGUUCUCCCUCGGGGCUGAGGGUAUGUACCAGUAGCUAUGUGUUUGAUCUCUCUCUCUCUCUCGUGUUCUUGAGAUGAUACGAUCUUGAUGUAUCGCGAGCUUUGCUAUUAUAUUUGGAUCCUAUGAUGUUUCUUCCCCCCUCUACUCUCUUGUAAUGAAUUGAGUUUCCCCUUUGAAGUUAUCUUAUCGGAUUGAGUCUUUAAAGAUUUGAGAACACUUGAUGUAUGUCUUGCCGUGGAUAUCUGUGGUGACAAUGGGAUAUCACGUGAUUCACUUGAUGUAUGUUUUGGUGAUCAACUUGCGGGUUCCGCCCAUGAACCUAUGAAUAGGGGUUGGCACACGUUUUCGUCGUGAUUCUCCGAUAGAACUUUGGGGCACUCUUUGAGGUUCUUUGUGUUGGUUGAAUAGAUGAAUCUUAGAUUGUGUGACACAUAUCGUAUAAUCAUACCCACGGAUACUUGAGGUGACAUUGGAGUAUCUAGGUGACAUUAGGGUUUUGGUUGAUUUGUGUCUUAAGGUGUUAUUCUAGUAGGAACUCUAGGGCUGUUUGUGACACUUAUAGGAAUAGCCCAAUGGAUUGAUUGGAAAGAAUAGCUUUGAGGUGCUUUCGUACCCUACCAUAAUCCCUUCGUUUGUUCUCCGCUAUUAGUGACUUUGAAGUGACUCUUUGUUGCAUGUUGAGGGAUAGUUAUGUGAUCCAGUUAUGCUAUUAUUGUUGAGAGGACUUACACUAGUGAAAGUAUGAACCCUAGGCCUUGUUUCCUAGCAUUGCAAUACCGUUUACGCUCACUUUUAUCACUUGUUACCUUGUUGUUUUUAUAAUUUCAGAUUACAAAUACCUUUAUCUACUAUCCAUAUACCACUUGUUUCACCAUCUCUUCGCCGAACUAGUGCACCUAUACAAUUUACCAUUGUAUUGGGUGUGUUGGGGACACAAGAGACUCUUUGUUAUUUGGUUGCAGGGUUGCUUGAGAGAGACCAUCUUCAUCCUACGCCUCCUACGGAUUGAUAAACCUUAGGUCAUCCACUUGAGGGAAAUUUGCUACUGUCCUACAAACCUCUACACUUGGAGGCCCAACAACGUCUAUAAGAAGAAGGUUGUGUAGUAGACAUCAGUCGCGUGGGCCAGUGACGGUCCAGAGGCUUGAGGACCCCGCGGAGGUGGUGCGUCACCGUGUUAGUGAGGAGGACGCGCACGUCCGUCGCUACUUGUUUGCGUUGGAGCACAGGUUCUCCAAUACCUGGCAGGUUCUCCAGGGAUCUCACUGGAGCUAUGAUCCCGUGAUGGUUCCUUCUCUGUGGGUGUCCACCGCCCGCGCCGAUAUCCGUCGCGUGCUAGGGUUUUAGUUGUAUUAGUGAUGUUAUAUGUAUGACACUAUUCGGGAUGUAUUAGUGAUAAUAUUCGAUGAUGUAUGGAUGCAUGAGAUGAUUUACUUUUGCUUAUUGAAUGCAUGCUAAUUUGAGUCCUAUAAGAUAUUUUUAAAUGUAUAUCUUGUGUUGCUCAAAUAGGAUAUGUGCUUGCCCAAGUGGCCGGUCAUGUUUGCAGGUUACACCUCCGAGUGGCCUAUGUUUUGCCGGAGUGUUGAUUCAUUUCCGUUUCAGCAAAUUUCACGCGCUCGAUAUGUCCUAUUUUAGCAAAGGUCAUGCCGGAUUUUUCCGUGAAUUUUGGCAUGACUUGUGCCAGAAGAUGUGGGAAAUAUCGAGUGCCCCGGAUUUGUGUGUUGAGUAUCCUGCUAGUUGUCUUCGAUCGAUUUUCAAUUAAUGUUUUAACUAUGAACAUAGGAAAUGUUUGACGACGAAAAGGAUUUCGGUAUUUGCAAAUACUGCGAAGACGAGCGCGGCCUGUGCGACAGAAUCUUCCUAGAUGAUGAUAGGCACUUCAGCAUCAAGCUGGACGAGAACUUCGAAGUGGAGACAGUAAGUCACAACGACAAGUCUUUUUUCGUAAUUAAGCAUGACAUUUGCUUCAUUUGCUUGAACUUAUAAUUUAAGCAUGACAUUAAGCAUGACAAGUCUUUUUUUACUAUUCUACUAGCGUAUCCCCUGCCAUGCAAGAGUUUUUGUAUUGGAUAAGAUAGGUUUUAGUCGUACUAUGGAGGAAAAGAAAGUUUACUUGAAGACCGAGCAUGGUUAUAUUUUCCAUGCAAAAUUAUACAAUUCAGACGACUACACCUAUUUUGGAUGCAAAACAUGGCGAGCACUAUGCAAGACUUAUGCAUUUGAGCCUGAUAUGGUUAUCACCUUUCAUAUUCGUCCGGAAGAUGAUAUUGAAGGUAAUACCGACAUCUGGGUCGAUGUGCAGACGCCUCCAGUUAUACCAUUAUGUAAGUUUCUCAACCAUAUUUAUGUCUUUGAUAUUGUUUAUUCAAAAAUAGUUGACAACUAAUUUGUAUUGCCAGCUUAUUUCGGUGCAAGCAAACAUGUCCAGCGCUUGGUAGACAGGACCUACUACUGUCCCGAGGCUGAACUAAACUGCGAGGAGCUAAGUCAUUAUGUUUCAUGGCUUGAGGAUCUUGAUACUGUCAAUACAAAUUUUCUUCCUGCAUUUAGAAAUGUUAGUACUGAAAACGUGCGACCAAUAGUGUUCGUAAUGAACUACGGUCACAUCUAUUUAGGAAGGAUGGUAAGAUUUUUACUAUUUGUCCUCAGUGCAUCUUUUCCAUACAUUAUUUUUGAAGCUAAACUUCAUUGCUAAGUAUGUUACCAUACGAUGUUCUUCAACAGGGACUCCCGAUGAAUGUUGUGCCUUAUGUGAUCGAGACUAAAGGUACCAUGAGUAUUAUUAGCUUACGGCCAAGAUAUCUGAGAGAUUACUUUAGUGCAUUCAGGAUUAGCGACGGAUGCUUAAUAGUGCAAGACUGGACCAAAUGUGUGAUGGAGAAGCGCAGAGAAGUACUAGGGGGCAGCAAACAGAUGCGCUACCCACGAUUAGGAGACAUGUUCAUCUGCAUGAUCCAACUUGAUCAAGGAUGAGAGCUACACAUGUUUUAUGUUAUUUUACCUAAGAUAGAGCAGCAGGAGUGAUUAGCUAGCUAGAAAUGAGUUUGAGGAUGAUGAUGUGCUACACUAUUACUAUGAUGAUAAAAUAGCUAGUGUUGGUGGUAAUGACUAUGAUGAUUAUUAUUAGCCUGUUUUAGUGGUGAUUAAAUAAAUACUGUUGGUGGUAAUGACUAUGAUGAUGAUUAAAUAGCUUGUGCUGGCGCAUUAGAUUCAAGUGGAGGCAACAUGUGGUGCACAUCUAAAGUACUACUAGUCCAAACUGAUCAAGUUUGGAUUAGUAGUAUACUUUUGACAUGCACCACAUAUUGCCUCCACUUGAACCUAAUCCACCUUCAUUUGACACACUGUUAUGGACAUAAUGAUGUAAACCUCAUAACUCGUAUUGUACCAAUAUUUGUACGAUGGCGCAUAAAUACACUAAAAAUAAAAAAAAUAAAAAAGAAUACUAGUAGCGAUGGAGAGAAAAAACGCCGCCAGUAGUUACAUUAGCAGUAGCGUGGGAGUGAACAAACACUGCAGCUAUUUGUCCUAGCAGUAGCGCGUGCGGGCACGCGUUACUGCUAAGCAAUACCUGUAGCACCUUAUUAGUAGCACGCCUACCCACGCUACUAGUGAGCCCAAAACCAGCGCUACUGCUAGGGUUUUCCCUAGUAGUGGGAGUCCAAACGGAAUGAAACCUUCGGGAACGUGAUUUUCUCAACAAACAAGACCCGGGAGACUUGGACCCUACGUCAAGAAAGAAAAGAGGAGGCCACGAGGUAGGGGGCGCGUCUACCUCCACCAGGCGCGCCCUCCACCCUCGUGGGCCCCCUGUUGCUCCACCGACGUACUCCUUCCUCCUAUAUAUACCUACGUACCCCCAAACGAUCAGAUACGGAGCCAAAAUCCUAAUUCCACUGCCGUAACUUUCUGUAUCCACGAGAUCCCAUCUUGGGGCCUGUUCUAGAGCUCCGCCAGAGGGGGCAUCGAUCACGGAGGGCUUCUACAUCAACACCAUAGCCUCUCCGAUGAAGUGUGAGUAGUUUACCUCAGACCUACGGGUCCAUAGUAGUAGCUAGAUGGCUUCUUCUCUCUUUUUGGAUCUCAAUACAAUGUUCUCCCCCUCUCUUGUGGAGAACUAUUCGAUGUAAUCUUCUUUUUGCGGUGUGUUUGGUGAGACCGAUGAAUUGUGGGUUUAUGAUCAAGUCUAUCUAUGAAUAAUAUUUGAAUCUUCUCUGAAUUCUUUUAUGUAUGAUUGGUUAUCUUUGCAAGUCUCUUCGAAUUAUCAGUUUGGUUUGGCCUACUAGAUUGAUCUUUCUUGCAAUGGGAGAAGUGGUUAGCUUUGGGUUCAAUUUUGCGGUGUCCUUUCCCAGUGACAGUAGGGGCAGCAAGGCACGUAUUGUAUUGUUGCCAUCGAGGAUAACAAGAUGGGGUUUUCUUCAUAUUGGAUGAGUCUAUGCCUCUACAUCAUGUCAUCUUGCUUAAGGCGUUACUCUAUUUUUAACUUAAUACUCUAGAUGCAUGCUAGAUAGUGGUCGAUGAGUGGAGUAAUAGUCGUAGAUGCAGGCAGGAGUUGGUCUACUUGUCUCAGACGUGAUGCCUAUAUACAUGAUCAUACCUAGAUAUUCUCAUAACUAUGCUCAAUUCUAUCAAUUGCUCAACAGUAAUUUGUUCACCCACCGUAGAAUACUUAUGCUCUUGAGAGAAGCCACUAGUGAAACCUAUGGCCCCCGGGUCUAUCUUUACAUAUUAAUCUCCUACUACUUAGUUAUUUCCUUUGCUAUUUACUUUGCCUUUAUUUUACUUUGCAUCUUUAUCAUAAAAAUACCAAAAAUAUUAUUUUAUCAUAUCUAUCAGAUCUCACUCUCGUAAGUGGCCUUGUAGGGAUUGACAACCCCUAUUUGCGUUGGUUGCGAGGAUUUAUUUGUUUUGUGCAGGUACGAGGGACUCGCGCGUAGCCUCCUGAUACGUCUCCAAUGUAUCUACUUUUCCAAACACUUUUGCCCUUGUUUUGGACUCCAACUUGUAUGAUUUGAAUGGAACUAACCCGGACUGACGCUGUUUUCAGCAGAAUUGCCAUGAUGUUGUUUUAUGUGCAGAAAACAAAAGUUCUCGGAAUGACCUGAAACUCCACGGGAUAUCUUAGAAUAAAUAAUAAAUUAUCCUCGCCAAAGAUGAAGACCAGGGGGCCCACACCCUUCUCACGAGGGUGGGGGGCGCCCCCCCUAGGGAGCACCCCCUACCUCGUGGGCCCCCUAGAGACCCCUCGACUCCAACUCCAACUCUAUAUAACUGCUUUUGGGGAGAAAAAAAUAGGAGAGAAGAAAUCAUCGCGUUUUAUGAUACGGAGCCGCCGCCAAGCCCUAAAACCUCUCGGGAGGGCUGAUCUGGAGUCCGUUCGGGGUUCCGGAGAGGGGGAUUCGUCGCCUUCGUCAUCAUCAACCAUCCUCCAUCACCAAUUUCAUGAUGCUCACCGCCGUGCGUGAGUAAUUCCAUCGUAGGAUUGCUGGACGGUGAUGGGUUGGAUAAGAUUCACCAUGUAAUCGAGUUAGUUUUGUUAGGGUUUGAUCCCUAGUAUCCACUAUGUUCUGAGAUUGAUGUUGCUAUGACUUUGCUAUGCUUAAUGCUUGUCACUAGGGCCCGAGUGCCAUGAUUUCAGAUCUGGACCUAUUAUGUUUUCAUCAAUAUAUGAGAGUUCUAGAUCCUAUCUUGCAAGUCUAUAGUCACCUAUUAUGUGUUAUGAUCCAUUAACCCCGAAGUGACAAUAAUCGGGAUACUUACCGGUGAUAACCGUAGUUUGAGGAGUUCAUGUAUUCACUAUGUGCUAAUGCUUUGUUCCGGUUCUCUAUUAAAAGGAGGCCUUAAUAUUCCUUAUUUUCCAUUAGGACCCCGCUGCCACGGGAGGGUAGGACAAAAGAUGUCAUGCAAGUUCUUUUCCAUAAGCACGUAUGACUAUAUUCGGAAUACAUGCCUACAUUACAUUGACGAAUUGGAGCUAGUUCUGUGUCACCCUAUGUUAUGACUGUUACAUGAUGAACUGCAUCCGGCAUAAUUAUCCAUCAUUGAUCCGAUGCCUACGAGCUUUCCAUAUACUGGUUUACGCUUAUUUACUUUCCCGUUGCUAUUGUUACAAUCACAACAAAACACCAAAAACAUUACUUUGCUUUCAUUACUCUUUUGUUACUGUUACCAUCACUAUCAUAUUACUUUGCUACUAAACACUUUGUUGCAAAUACUAAGUUUCCAGGUGUGGUUGAAUUGACAACUCAGCUGCUAAUACUUGAGAAUAUUCUUUGGCUCCCCAUGUGUCGAAUCAAUAAAUUUGGGUUGAAUAAUCUACCCUCGAAAGCUGUUGCGAUCCCCUAUACUUGUGGGCUAUCAAGACUAAUUUCUGGCGCCGUUGCCGGGGAGCAUAGCUCUAUUCUUUGAGUCACUUGGGAUUUAUAUCUGCUGGACACUAUGAAGAACUUGAGAGAUCCAAAAACCAAGAUCUAUCCCUCAACUACGAGGGGAGGUAAGUAACUGCCAUCUAGCUCUGCACUUGAUUCACCUUCUGUUAUGAGUAAUCUUGCGACACCUACACCUGCUUCUGCUAUUCGUUCUGAUAUGUCGCAUGUUAUUGAUGAUGCUACUUCUGCUAUGCAUGAUACUUAUGAUCAAACUACCUCUAUGCCUGAUACUACUAUGCCACUUAGUGAUUUUCUAGAGGAACGACUUGCUAGGGCUAGAGAGAUUGAAAAUAUUGAAUCUGAUUAUGAAGAUGAAAGUGAUGAUGAAGAAUCACUUGUUAUUCCUAAGGGUUAUUUAUUUGAUCAAGAUGCUUCUUUAGCUAUUUUAGCCUGGAAAGAUAGAUAUGAACUCAAAAGGUUAUUAGCUAAAUGGAAUAAGCAAUCUCCAAAUGCUAGGAUGAGACCUGACCCUGCUUUUGCUACUUCACCUAUAUGUGUUGCUGAUAAGGAUUAUGAAUUCUCUAUUGAUCCUGAUAUAAUUACUUUGGUUGAAUCUGAUCCUUUUCAUGGCUAUGAAUCUGAAACUGUUGUAGCACAUCUUAAUAAAUUAAAUAAUAUAUCCACCCUGUUCACUAAUGAUGAGAGAUCUCGCUACUUUUAUAUCCUUAAAAUAUUUCCGUUCUCAUUAAAGGGUGAUGCUAAGAUAUGGUUCAAUUCUCUUGAUCCUGGUUGUGUGCGUAGUCCCCAGGAUAUGAUUUAUUACUUCUCUGCUAAAUAUUUCCCUGCUCAUAAGAAACAAGCUGCUUUAAAGGAAAUAUACAACUUUGUGCAAAUUAAAUAAGAGAGUCUCCCACAAGCUUGGGGGAGGCUUCUCAAGUUACUUAAUGCUUUGCCUGAUCCUCCUCUUAAGAAAAAUGAAAUACUUGAUAUCUUUUAUAAUGGACUAACCGAUGCUUCCAAAGAUUACCUGGAUAGUUGUGCUGGUUCUCUUUUGAGGGAAAGAACACCAGAUGAAGCUGAAAUCUUAUUGAAUAAUAUGUUGACAAAUGAAAAUAAUUGGGCACCUCCUGAGCUAGCUCUUGCUCCAAUUAAUGAUCCUAUUCCUAAACCAACUUCGAAGAAGAGAGGUAUUCUAUUUCUCAGUCCUGAAGAUAUGCAAGAGGCAAAGAAAUCUAUGAAAGAAAAAUGUAUUAAAGCUGAAGAUGUUAAGAAUUUACCUCCUAUUGAAGAAAUACAUGGUCUUAAUUUACCACCUGUUGAAGAAACAUAUGAUCUUAAUCCUUUAUUUAUUGAAGAACCUCCAGACCUCGAUAACCCGACACAGGUAGUAAAGGUAAAUUCUCUCUAUAGAUAUGAUAAAGCUCAAAUCCCUCCUACUAAAAUUGCUAGUCAAUGCUUGGAUGAGUUUGAUAAUUUUAUGUUUAAGCAAGAAGACUUCAAUGCUUAUUUUGGUAGACAAUUAAAACAAGAUGCUGAUAUGAUUAAAUACUUAGGUGAUUAUAUGGCUAAUAUUAGAGGUGAACUUAAACUUGUUAGCAAACAUGCUUCUAUGGUUACCACUCAAGUAGAACAAGUACUUAAAGCUCAAAAAGAAUUGCUCAAUGAGAUGAAUAGUAAGAAAAAUGAUUAUGCUGUUAAAGUGUCUACUAGAACUGGUAGAAUGACUCAGGAACCUUUGUAUCCUGAAGGCCACCCUAAGAGAGUUGAGCAAGAUUCUUAGAGAAAUAAUAUUGAUGCACCCAGUUCUUCUAAAAAGAAGAAAAAGAAAAAUGAUAGAACAGUGCAAACUUCUAGUGAACCUAUUGCUGAACCACCUAAUAAUCCAAAUGAUAUCUCUAUGUGUGAUGUUGAAACACAAUCUGGUAAUGAACAUGAACCUAAUAAAAAUGUUAAUGAUGAUGUUCAUAAUGAUGCUCAACCUAGUAAUGAUAAUGAUGUAGAAAUUGAACCUGCUGUUGAUCUUGAUAACCCACAAUCAAAGAAUCAAUGUUAUGAUAAGAAAGACUUCGUUGCUAGGAAACAUGGUAAAGAAAGAGAACCUUGGGUUCAGAAACCCAUGCCUUUUCCUCCCAAACCAUCAUAGAAAAAGGAUGAUGAGGAUUUUGAGCGCUUUGAUGAAAUGAUUAGACCUAUGUUUUUGCGUAUGCGAUUAACUGAUAUACUCAAAACAAAUCCUUAUGCCAAGUACAUGAAAGAUAUUAUUACAAAUAAAAGAAAGAUACCGGAAGCUGAAAUUUCCUCCAUGCUUGCUAAUUAUACUUUUAAGGGUGGAAUACCAAAGAAACUUGGGGAUUGAUACGUCUCCGUCGUAUCUACUUUUCCAAACACUUUUGCCCUUGUUUUGGACUCUAACUUGUAUGAUUUGAAUGGAACUAACCCGGACUGACGCUGUUUCCAGCAGAAUUGCAAUGGUGUUGUUUUAUGUGCAGAAAAAAUAUAUUCUCGGAAUGACCUGAAACUCCACGGAACAUCUUAGAAAAAAUAAUAAAAAAUCCUCGCCAAAGAUGAAGACCAGGGGGCCCACACCCUGUCCAUGAGGGUGGGGGGCGCGCCCCCCUCUAGGGCGCGCCCCCUACCUUGUGGGCCCCCCGGAUGCCCUCCGACGCCAACUCCAACUCUAUAUAUUUGCUUUCGGAGAGAAAAAAAUCAGAGAGAAGAAAUCAUCACGUUUUACGAUACGAAGCCACCGCCAAGCCCUAAAACCUCUCGGGAGGGCUGAUCUGGAGUCCGUUCGGGGCUUCGGAGAGGGGGAUUCGUCGCUGUCGUCAUCAUCAACCAUCCUCCAUCACCAAUUUCAUGAUGCUCACCACCGUGCGUGAGUAAUUUCAUCAUAGGCUUGCUGGACGGUGAUGGGUUGUAUGAGAUUUAUCAUGUAAUCGAGUUAGUUUUGUUAGGGUUUGAUCCCUAGUAUCCAUUAUGUUCUGAGAUUGAUGUUGCUAUGACUUUGCUAUGCUUAAUGCUUGUCACUAGGGCCUGAGUGCCAUGAUUUCAGAUCUGAACCUAUUAUGUUUUCAUGAAUAUAUGUGAGUUCUUGAUCCUAUCUUGCAAGUCUAUAGUCACCUACUAUGUGUUAUGAUCCGGCAACCCCGAAGUAACAAUAAUCGGGACCACUCCCCGUGAUGACCAUAGUUUGAGUAGUUCAUGUAUUCACUAUGUGCUAAUGCUUUGUUCCGGUUCUCUAUUAAAAGGAGGCCUUAAUAUCCCUUAGUUUCCAAUAGGACCCCGCUGCCAUGGGAGGGUAGGACAAAAGAUGUCAUGCAAGUUCUUUUCCAUAAGCACGUAUGACUAUAUACGGAAUACAUGCCUACAUUAAAUUGAUGAAUUGGAGCUAGUUCUGUGUCACCCUAUGUUAUGACUGUUACAUGAUGAACCGCAUCCGACAUAAUUAUCCAUCACUGAUCCGGUGCCUACGAGUUUUCCAUAUACUGGUUCUCGCUUAUUUACUUUCCCGCUGCUACUGUUACAAUCACUACAAAAUACUAAAAACAUUACUUUUGUUGUCUUUACUUUUGUUGCCGCUACCAUCACUAUCAUAUUACUUUGCUACUAAACACUUUGCUACAGAUACUAAGUUUCCAGGUGUGGUUGAAUUGACAACUCAACUGCUAAUACUUGAGAAUAUUCUUUGGCUCCCCUUGUGUCGAAUCAAUAAAUUUGGGUUGAAUACUCUACCCUCGAAAGCUGUUGCGAUCCCCUAUACUUGUGGGUUAUCAAGACAAAUUUCUGGCGCCGUUGCCGGGGAGCAUAGAUCUAUUCUUUGAGUCACUUGGGAUUUAUAUCUGCUGGACACUAUGAAGAACUUGAAAGACGCUAAGACAACAAUUUAUCCCUCAACUACGAGGGGAGGUAAGGAACUGCCAUCUAGCUUUGCACUUGAUUCACCUUCUGUUAUGAGUAAGCUAGCGACACCUAAACCUGCUUCUGCUAUUCGUUUCGAUAUGUCGCAUGUUAUUGAUGAUGCCACUUCUGCUAUGCAUGAUACUUAUGAUGAAACUGCUUCUAUGCAUGAUACUACUGUGCCCCUUAGUGAAUUUCUUGAUGAACAAAUUGCUAGGGCUAGAGAAAAAGAAACUAUUGAAUCUGAAUACGAUGAUGAAAAUAUGCCUGUUAUUCCCGAGGGUUAUCUUUUUGAUAUGGAAUCUUCUGCUGCUAUUUUAUCUUGCAGGGAUAGAUAUGAGCUUAAGAGGUUAUUAGUUAAAUGGAACAAAGAAUCACUUAGAGAUAAAAUGAAACCCGGUCCUGCUUUUGCUACUUCACCUAUUUGUGUUCAUGAUAAGGAUUAUGAAUUCUCUAUUGAUCCUGAUAUAAUUACUUUGGUUGAAUCUGAUCUGUUUUAUGGCUAUGAAUCUGAAACUGUUGUGGCACAUCUUACUAAGUUAAAUGAUAUAGCUGCCCUGUUCACUAAUGAUGGGAGAUCGCGUUACUUCUAUAUACUCAAAAUAUUUCCUUUCUCAUUAAAGGGUGAUGCUAAGAUAUGGUUUAACUCUCUUGAUCCUGGUUGUGUGCGUAGUCCCCAAGAUAUGAUUUAUUACUUCUCUACUAAAUAUUUCCCUGCUCAUAAGAAACAAGCUGCUUUGAGGGAAAUAUACAACUUUGUGCAAAUUAAAGAAGAGAGUCUCCCACAAGCUUGGGGGAGGCUUCUCAAGUUACUUAAUGCUUUGCCUGAUCAUCCUCUUAAGAAACCCGAAAUACUUGAUAUCUUUUAUAAUGGACUAACCGAUGCUUCCAGAGAUUACCUGGAUAGUUGUGCCGAUUCUCUUUUCAGGGAAAGAAUACUGGAUGAAGGUGAAAUUCUAUUGAAUAAUAUGUUGACAAAUGAAAAUAAUUGGGCACCUCCUGAGCCAGCUCCUGCUCCAAUUACUGAGCCUAUUCCUAAACCAACUCCGAAGAAGAGAGGUGUUCUAUUCCUGAGUCCCGAAGAUAUGCAAGAGGCAAAGAAAUCUAUGAAAGAAAAAGGUAUUAAAGCUGAAGAUGUUAAGAAUUUACCUCCUAUUGAAGAAAUACAUGGUCUUAAUCUACCGCCUGUGAAAGAAACUUAUGAUCUCAAUUCUUUAUUUAUUGAAGAACCUUCAGACCCCGAUAUCCCGACACAGGUAGUAAAGGUAAAUUCUCUCUAUAGAUUUGAUGAAGGUGAUAUCCCUCACUAUAAGUCUGCUAGGCAAUGCUUUGAUGAGUUUGAUAAAUUUAUUGUCAAACAAGAAAAUUUCAAUGCCUAUUUUUGUAUACAAUUAAAACAAAAUUCUGAUAUGAUUAAAUACUUGGGUGAUUAUAUGGCUAAUAUUAAAGGUGAACUUAAACUUGUUAGCAAACAUGCUUCUAUGGUUACCACGCAAGUAGAACAAGUGCUUAAAGCUCAAAAAGAAGAGCUUGAUGAAAUGAAUAGUAAGAAAAAUGAUUAUGCUGUUAGAGUGGCUACUAGAACUAGUAGAAUGACUCAGGAACCUUUGUAUCCUGAAGGCCACCCUAAGAGAAUCGAGCAAGAUUCUUAGAGAAAUAAUAUUGAUGUUCCUAGUUCUUCUAAAAAGAAGAAAAAGAAAAAUGAUAGAACUGUGCAAACUUCUAGUGAACCUAUUGCUGAACCACCUGAUAAUCCAAAUGAUAUAUCUAUGUCUGAAGCUGAAACACAAUCUGGUAAUGAACAUGAACCUAGUGAAAAUAUUAAUGAUGAUGUUCAUGAUGAUGCUCAACCUAGUAAUGACAAUGAUGUAGAAAUUGAACCUGCUGUUGAUCUUGAUAACCCACAAUCAAAGAAUCAACGUUAUGAUAAAAGAGACUUUGUUGCUAGGAAACAUGGUAAAGAAAGGGAACCUUGGGUUCAGAAACCCAUGCCUUUUCCUCCAAAACCAUCCAAGAAAAAGGAUGAUGAGGAUUUUGAGCGCUUUGCUGAAAUGAUUAGGCCUAUCUUUUUGCGUAUGCGAUUAACUGAUGUGCUCAAAACAAAUCCUUAUGCUAAAUAUAUGAAGGAUAUCAUUACUAAUAAAAGAAAGAUACCGGAAGAUGAAAUUUCCACCAUGCUUGCUAAUUAUACUUUUAAGGGUGGAAUACCAAAGAAACAUGGAGACCCCAGAGUACCUACUAUACCUUGCUCCAUUAAAAGAAAUUAUAUUAAAACUGCUUUAUGUGAUCUUGGAGCCGGUGUUAGUGUUAUGCCUCUCUCUUUAUAUCGUAGACUUGACUUGAAUAAGUUGACACCUACUGAAAUAUCUUUGCAAAUGGCUGAUAAAUCAACUGUUAUACCUGCCGGUAUCUGUAAGGAUGUGCCUGUUGUGGUUGCAAACGUUACUAUUUUAACGGACUUUGUUAUUCUUGAUAUUCCCGAGGAUGAUAGUAUGUCUAUUAUUCUUGGAAGACCUUUUCUUAAUACUGCAGGGGUUGUUAUUGAUUGCAACAAAGGCAAUGUCACUUUUCAUGUUAAUGGUAAUGAGCAUACGGUACAGUUUCCGAGGAAACAACCUCAAGUUCAUAGUAUCAACUCCAUUGGAAAAAUUCCAUCGAUUAUAAUUGGAGGUUUUGAAUUUCCUCUUCCUACUGUCAAAAAGAAAUAUGAUAUACUUAUUAUUGGGAAUGUGCAUAUCCCCGUUGAGGUAACUUAGUGUUAUUCGAAAUUUCUCCGGUUUCAUGAUUAUCGGAAUGAGUUUGUUAACAAGACUUGAUCAACCUUGUUAGUGGAUUCUUUUUGAUGAGCAUGAGAUGGAUGAAACUAGAAGCACCACCUUCUGUACCCUCUCUAUAUUUUUUGUUAAUUAGUAGAAAUAAAUUAAAAAUAGUAUUUUUCUGUCUGUUUCCUGACUUAUCCGUGCAAUAUAAAAAUAUCCCGAAAAUAAAAGUCCUCAGAAUGACAUGCCAAUUUAAUAUGAUUUUUUCGGGAAUAUUUGAGGAUUUACUGUACAAAAAUUACCGCGGGAGGAGCUGCCACCUGGCCACGAGGGUGGUGGGCGCGCCCCUUUCCUCGUGGGCCCACGGUGACCCUCCUCCACUUAUCCCAGCACCCAUCUUCUUCCUCCGUCUCACACAAACCCGAAAAACCAACUCAAGCACGAGUUCCAACUACUUUUGCUGUGAUUUUCGAUCUCCUUGCUCAAAGCACCUCUCGCAAAACUGCUUGGGGAGAUUGUUCCAUGGUAUGUGACUCCUCCAUUGGUCCAAUUAGUUUUUCUUCUAGUGCUUUAUUCUUUGCAAAUUUGUGCUGCAUAGGUGACCAUGUUCUUGAGCUUGCAUGUCAAAUUUAUAUGGUUCCAAGUAGUUCUAAUGCUUGAUUUAGGCUCUAGGCACUUGUAGGAGUAGUUGCUAUCAGUUUUAUUGAAGUUGGUUCACUUUUGUUUGAAGUUACUAAAAAUUUCAGAUUAUUUCAGAAAAAUAAUGAGGAGACUUUUGAGGGGUUCAUUGAGCCGAAGCUCAAAGGAUAAACAAAAUGAAGAAGCUCAGAGGCCCAAAUAUAAUUUGCCUCGUACUGCGGAGAUCCGGCUGUGUGAAUGGCCUUCUGAUAAUUUCUUGAGAGAGGCCGGGAUUUAUGAGGAUUUCUAUUCAUUGAUUAAGAAUGCUGGCCUCACCGACUUCGUCCGCGACCAACGUCCACAGUAUCUCUUACUCACAAAUACUUUUGUGCAAAACUUCUACUUUUUCCCUAAAGAGUCACCUCCUUCAGUAGAGUUUCAUUUAUAUGACGUUGUGAAGAAAAUGCCAUUGUCUGAAUUUUGCGCAGUCUGCAACAUACCUCCUGAUGGUAUCUUAGAGGAACCACCUCGUAAAGAGUUGGAACCAUUUAUUAACCUUAUCUCUAUGGGAGAAACCGGGAAGGUUUCUGAUGCAAGAAUCACUAGCAUACAUUUUCCUGUGUUACGCUAUUUUGCUUUAUUUGCUAGUCAAUGCUUGAUUAGUCGUGGGAACUGUGGGAACCUUAGUGUUCCUGAUAUUAUUAUUCUGUUCCAUGGUUUAUACGGCGACAACAUUGUCAGUAUGGGCGGAAUUAUUGCUAGGCGGUUGAGUCUGAACCGUACUAAACGCCCCAUCUUUGGAGGCAUUUAUGCUUCUCGCCUUGCUGCACACUUUAACAUAGCUAUUAAGCAUUAUGAGAAAGAAGAAAAAUUGCUACCUAAUGCUUAUCUAGACUACAAGAGCAUGAUAGCUCAUGAUUUUCUUGUUAAGGACAUGAAUGGAGAGCUCAAAUAUAAGUUAUACUUUGAUAAACAUUAUCUUGAAACUAUUAUGUUGCCUGCUCCUUCUUUGUUUAAUUUUGUAGGACCCUACCUCAUUACGUGGGCUGCCGUCCAAGCUUACAAGAAUCCUGCACCAGCCCCAGAACAGGAACCACAAGAUGAGCCUCCAUGACAAUCUGUUUAUUCUUGGGAUCCAGAGAUGACUGUCAGCCAGUGGCAGUCAGAGUCUUCUUCUUCAUCACAGUAUGAUCCCAACUAUUCUUCGUCGCAGUACGACCCCAGCAACACCUAUGGGUAUCCACCAGGCUAUCCCUGACAAUAGACCAACUUAGGCCAAAAGCCUAAGCUUGGGGGAGUAUGUAUUUCUCACCGACAUUACAUUUAUGUUCACACACACUCAUUGCUAGAUGUCAGUGCUCAUACUCUUUCACUGUAAUAUCCAUGCUAGUUUAUUUUCUUUUUCCUGCUUUCUUCUUGUGUGUUUGUUAAACCUUAAGAAAAACAAAAAAAUAGUAGUAGUUUAUUUUUCUGCUGUAGUAGUAAUAAUUAAAAAGAAAACCCAAAAAUAUUUCCCGUUCUUCUUUUGCUUGUUGGGAGCUUUCCCAUGUAAAUAGUUUUAUUUCUUUUCUUUUCUUUGGGGGUUAGUAGGAGAAGACAAUAAUUAAAUUGUUGAAGUGGCUCUUAUAUGCAUUAUUGUUGAUUUAACCAAGAGCCCAUAUUGCCUUGUCUUCUCCUGUUUAUUGAAUGCUUGCAGAUUCCAGCUUAGUCCAAUGCACGUGCACCCUUAUUAUUAUUCACACCGUUCGGUCGUGCAAGUGAAAGACAAUUAUGAUGAUAUAUGAUGGACUGACUGCGAUGAGAAAAGCUGGCAUGAACUCGACCUCUUUUGUUUUUGUAAAUAUGAUGAGCCCACUCGUUCUUGAUUCAGCUUAUUAUGAAUAAACAUGUUUGCAAUGACAAUUAGAGAUCGUAGUUGCUUGUGCCAUGUUUGAUUAGCUAUGAGUUAUAAUGGUUUACCUUGUGUGCCAACAUACUAUUGAGAUGAUUAUGAUGUGGUAUGAUGGGGUGGUAUCCUCCUUUGAAUGAUUUAAGUGACUUGACUUGGCACAUGUUCACGCAUGUAGUUGAAAAAAAUCAACAUAGCCUUCACGAUAUUUAUGUUCAUGGUGGAUUAUAUCCUACUCAUGCUUGCAUCCAAUGUUUAUUAAUUUUAAUGCAUGUACAUGGCUGUUGUCGCUCUCUAGUUGGUCGCUUCCCAGUCUUUUGCUAGCCUUCACUUGUACUAAGCGGGAAUACUGCUUGUGCAUCCAAUCCCUUAAACCCCAAAGUUAUUCCAGAUGAGUCCACCAUACCUUCCUAUAUGCGGCAUCUACCUGCCGUUCCAAGUAAAUUUGUAUGUGCCAAACUCUAAACCUUCAAAUAAACAUUCUGUUUUGUAUGCUCGAAUAGCUCAUGUAUCAACCAAGGCCGUCCUUAUCUUCCGUGUUAGGCGGGUUAUUCUCAAGAGGAGUGGACUCCGCUCCUCACUCACGAGAAAAUGGCUGGUCACCGGGAUGCCCAAUCCCAUGCUUUAUGCAAACUAAAUCAAAAUUAAUUGCAAACAAAACUCCCCCUGGGACCUGAUGUAUGUUGGAGACACUCGUUGUUUCGAGCAAGUCAUGGAUUGAUGCUUGUUGGUGGAGGGGGAGUAUAAACUUUACCAUUCUGUUUGGGAAACGCCUAUAAUGUGUUUAUCAUGGAAGAUAUCGCCAUCUCUUAGUUGCUAUGUUGACAAUGAAAGUAUACCGCUCAAAAUACAAUAUAUCACUAUUGCAAAACCGAGCUCUGGCACAUCUAAAAAUCCCUACUUCCCUCUACGAAGGCCUAUCCAUUUACUUUUAUGUUGAGUCAUCGCCCUCUUAUUAAAAAGCACUAGCUGGAGAGCACAGCUGUCAUUUGCAUUCAUCACUAUUAAUUUAUAUUGGGUGUGACUAUGAUUGGAUCUCUUUUACCAUGAAUUACAAUGUCUAGUCAGUCCUUCAUCUUUAAAGGUGCUCUGCAUUUAUGUUUUGCGGUCUCAGAAUGGGCUAGCGAGAUACCAUCUUGUUAUAUCAUAUUAUGAUCGUUUUGAGAAAGUGUUGUCAUCCGAGAUUUAUUAUUAUGACUUGCUAGUUGAUUAUGCCAUUCAUAUAAGUAAUUAUGAGACCUGAGAAUUAUUGCAAAUGUGGUUAGUUAUGAUCUAUGCUGAAAACUUGAAUACUGGCUUGACAUAGUUACAACAACAAGAGCAAACAGAGUUUGUAAAAGUUUUUCUUUCUUUCUUUCAGUUUGUCAACUGAAUUGCUUGAGGACAAGCAAGGGUUAAAGCUUGGGGGAGUUGAUACGUCUCCGUCGUAUCUACUUUUCCAAACACUUUUGCCCUUGUUUUGGACUCUAACUUGUAUGAUUUGAAUGGAACUAACCCGGACUGACACUGUUUUCAGCAGAAUUGCCAUGGUGUUGUUUUAUGUGCAGAAAACAAAUAUUCCCGGAAUGACCUGAAACUCCACGGAACAUCUUAGAAAAAAUAAUAAAAAAUCCUCGCCAAAGAUGAAGACCAGGGGGCCCACACCCUGUCCACGAGGGUGGGGGGCGCGCCCCCUACCUCAUGGGCCCCCCGGAUGCCCUCCGACGCCAACUCCAACUCUAUAUAUUUGCUUUCGGAGAGAAAAAAAUCAGAGAGAAGAAAUCAUCGCGUUUUAUGAUACGGAGCCGCCGCCAAGCCCUAAAACCUCUCGGGAGGGCUGAUCUAGAGUCCGUUUGGGUCUCAGGAGAGGGGGAUUCGUCGCUGUCGUCAUCAUUAACCAUCCUCCACCACCAAUUUCAUGAUGCUCACCGCCGUGCGUGAGUAAUUCCAUCGUAGGCUUGCUGGACGGUGAUGGAUUGGAUGAGAUUUAUCAUGUAAUCGAGUUAGUUUUGUUAGGGUUUGAUCCCUAGUAUCCAUUAUGUUCUUAGAUUGAUGUUGCUAUGACUUUGCUAUGCUUAAUGCUUGUCACUAGGGCCCGAGUGCCAUGAUUUCAGAUCUGAACCUAUUAUGUUUUCAUGAAUAUAUGUGAGUUCUUGAUCCUAUCUUGCAAGUCUAUAGUCACCUACUAUGUGUUAUGAUCCGGCAACCCCGAAGUGACAAUAAUCGGGACCACUCCCGGUGAUGGCCAUAGUUUGAGGAGUUCAUGUAUUCACUAUGUGCUAAUGCUUUGUUCCAAUUCUCUAUUAAAAGGAGGCCUUAAUAUCCCUUAGUUUCCAAUAGGACCCCGCUGCCAUGGGAGGGUAGGACAAAAGAUGUCAUGCAAGUUCUUUUCCAUAAGCACGUAUGACUAUAUACGAAAUACAUGCCUACAUUACAUUGAUGAAUUGGAGCUAGUUCCGUGUCACCCUAUGUUAUGACUGUUACAUGAUGAACCGCAUCCGGCAUAAUUAUCCAUCACUGAUCCGGUGCCUACGAGUUUUCCAUAUACUGGUUCUCGCUCAUUUACUUUCCCGUUGCUACUGUUACAAUCACUACAAAAUACCAAAAACAUUACUUUUGCUAUCUUUACUUUUGUUGCCGCUACCACCACUAUCAUAUUACUUUGCUACUAAACACUUUGCUGCAGAUACUAAGUUUCCAGGUGUGGUUGAAUUGACAACUCAGCUGCUAAUACUUGAGAAUAUUCUUUGGCUCCCUUCGUGUCGAAUCAAUAAAUUUGGGUUGAAUACUCUACCCUCGAAAGCUGUUGCGAUCCCCUAUACUUGUGGGUUAUCAGGGAUCCCAGAGUACCUACUAUACCAUGCUCCAUUAAAAGAAACUAUGUUAAAACUGCUUUAUAUGAUCUUGGAGCCGGUAUUAGUGCUAUGCCUCUCUCUUUAUAUCGUAGACUUGAUUUGAAUAAGUUGACACCUACUAAAAUAUCUUUGCAAAUGGCUGAUAAAUCAACUGCUAUACCUGUUGAUAUUUGUGAGGAUGUGCCUGUUGUGGUUGCAAACGUUACUAUUUUAACAGACUUUGUUAUUCUUGAUAUUCCUGAGGACGAUAGUAUGUCUAUUAUUCUUGGAAGACCUUUUCUUAAUACUGCAGGGGCUGUUAUUGAUUGCAACAAAGGCAAUGUCACUUUUCAUGUUAAUGGUAAUGAGCAUACGACACACUUUCCGAGAAAACAACCUCAAGUUCAUAGUAUCAAUUCUAUCAGAAAAAUUCCAUCGAUUAUAUUUGGAGGUUUUGAAUUUCCUCUUCCUACUGUCAGGAAGAAAUAUGAUAUACUUAUUAUUGGGGAUGUGCAUAUCCCUGUUGAGGUAACCUAGUGUUAUUCGAAAUUUCUCCGGUUUCAUGUUAAUCGGAAUGGGUUUGUUAACAAGACUUGAUCAACCUUGUUAGUGGAUUCCUUUUGACGAGCAUGAGAUGGUUGAAACUAGAAGCACAACUCUGUGUACCCCUUCUAUACUUUCUGUUAUUUAGUUGAAAUAAAGUAAAAAUAAAUAAUUUUCUGUCUGUUAUCUGAUUAUCCGUGCAAUAUAAAAAUACCUCGAAAAUAAAAGUUCUCCAAAUGCCCUGAAAAUUAAAUAUGAUUUUUUAUAGAAUAUUUGAGGAUUUAUGGAACAAAGAACACACCAGGGGGGCCAACCACCUUGCCAUGGGGGUGGAGGGCGCGCCCACCCCCUAGGGCCCGCCCCCUGCCUCGUGGGCCCACGGUGGCCCUCCUCCACUUAUUCUUUCAGCCACACACUUCAUCUUCCUCCCCCAAACACGAAAAACCAACUCAAACCCGAGGCCAAGCUCGUUUUGCUGCCAUUUUCGAUAUCCUUGCUCAAAGCACCUCUCACAAAACUGCUUGGGGAGAUUAUUCCUUGGUAUGUGACUCCUCCAUUGGUCCAAUUAGUUUUUGUUCUAGGGCUUUAUUCAUUGCAAAUUUGUGUUGCUUAGGUGACCCUUUUCUUGAGCUUGCAUGUCAAAUUUAUAUGGUCAAAAGUAGUUUUGAUGCAUGAUAUAGGCCCUAGGCACUUGUAGGAGUAGUUGCUAUCAAUAUUAUUGAGUUUGGUUUUCUUUUAUUUUUAAGUUACUAAAAAUUUCAGAAUUUUUCAGAAAAUGAUGAGGAGAUUAUUGAGGGGCUCAUCGAGCCAAAGCUCGAAGGAAAAGACGCCGAAUCCUAAGUAUAAUUUGCCGCGCACCGCAGAGGUUCGGGCGUGUAAAUGGCCUUCUGAGGAUUUCUUGAGAGAAGCCGGGAUUUAUGAAGAUUUUCAUGAGUUGGCUCAUAAUGCAGGCCUCACCGCUUUCCUCCACGACCAAUGCGAUCAGUAUCUCUUGCUCACAAAUACCUUUGUGCAAACCUUUCAUUUUCAUUCUAGGAACUCACCAACUACGGUGGAGUUUCAUUUAUAUGAUGAGCAUAAGGAGAUGUCACUUUAUGAUUUCUGUCGGAUUUGUUUAGUCCCUUUUGGGGGCAAGACAGAAGAACCACAUCAUGAUGAUGCGGAGGGAUUUAUUAAUACUAUCACUGUAGGGGAAACUAGGAAGGUUUCCGAUGCACGAAUCACUAGCAUACAUUUUCCUGUCUUACGUUACUUUGCAUUAUUUGCUAGUCGUUGCUUAAUUGGUCGUGGAAGCUCUAGAAACCUUAGUAUCUCUGAUAUUAUUAUUUUGCUCCAAGGUUUAUACAGUGAUAACACUUUUAGUAUGGGCGGCAUUAUUGCUAGACGGUUAAGUAUGAACCGUACUAAGGGUCCCAUCUUUGGAGGCGUCUAUGCCACACGCCUAGAUGCACAUUUUAACAUACCUAUUAGGCAUGCUGAGAAGGAAGAAAAAGUGCUGCCUCGUGUUUAUUUAGAUUAUAAAAGUAUGGUGGCACAUGAUUUUAUUGUUAAGAAUAGGGCAGGAGAGCUUAAAUAUCAAUUUUUCUUUAUUAAACAUCAUCCUGAGACUAUUACCUUGCCUGCUCCUGCUUUCUUUGAUUUGACUGUAGGCAAGUACCUUGUUCCGUUGACGGAUAUCCAUGCUUACCGGAACCCUGCACCAGCCGAGGAGCCAGAACUGGAACCACAAUUUGAUCCUUCACGACAGUCUAACUAUCAGUGGGAUCCGGAGAUGAUUGCCAGUCAGUGGCAAUCGGAGCCUUCUUCUUCCUCAUCACAGUACGACCCCACCAACUAUUAUUAUGGAUAUCCGCCAGGCCAGCCAUGGCCAUAGACCAACUUAGGCCAAAAGCCUAAGCUUGGGGGAGUACAUAUUUCUCACCGACAUUACAUUUAUGUUCACACACACCCAUUGCUAGAUGUCAGUGCUAAUACUCUUUCAUUGUAUCAUCCAUGCUAGUUUAUUUUCUUUUAUGCUUUCUUCUUGUGUGAUUAAUAAACCUUAAGAAAAACCAAAAAAAAUUAGUUGUAGCUUUUAAUUAAUUUACUUUCCAUGCUUGUAGUAGUAAUUAAAAAAGAAAACCCAAAAAUAUUUCCUGUUCUUCUUUUGCUUGUUGGGAGCUUUUCCGUGUAAAUAGUUUUAUUUCUUUUCUUUUCUUUGGGGGUCAGUAGGAGAAGACCAUGAUUAAAUUGUUGCAGUGGCUCUUACAUGCAUUAUUGUUUAUCUGACAAAAGAGCCCAUAUUUCCUUGUCUUCUCCUGUUUAUUGAAUGCUCGUAGAUUCCUGCUUAGUCCAAUGCACGUGCACUCUUAUUAUUAUUCACAUCAUUCGGUCGUGCAAGUGAAAGGCAAUUAUGAUGAUAUAUGAUGGAAUGACUGAGAUGAGAAAAGCUGGUACAAACUCGGCCUCUUUUGUUUUUGUAAAUAUGAUGAGUUCAUCGUUCUUGAUUCAGCUCGUUAUGAAUAAACAUGUUUGCAAUGACAAUUGGAGAUCAUAGUUGCUUAUGCCAUGCUUGAUUAGCUAUGAGUUAUAAUGGUUUACCUUGCGUGCCAACAUGCUAUUAAAAUGGUUAUGAUGUGGCAUGAUAGGGUGGUAUCCUCCUCUGAAUGACUUAAGUGACUUGACUUGGCACAUGUUCACACAUGUAGUUGAAACAAAUCAACAUAGCCUUCACGAUAUUUAUGUUCAUGGUGGAUUAUAUCCUACUCAUGCUUGCAUCCAAUGUUUAUUAAUUUUAAUGCAUGCACAUGGCUGCUGUCGCUCUCUAGUUGGUCGCUUCCCAGUCUUUUGCUAGCCUUCACCUGUACUAAGCAGGAAUACUGCUUGUGCAUCCAAACUCCUUAAACCCCAAAGUUAUUCCACAUGAGUCCACUAUACCUUCCUAUAUGCCGUAUUUACCUGCCGUUCCAAGUAAAUUUGUAUGUGCCAAACUCUAAACCUUCAAGUAAUCAUCCUGUUUUGUAUGCUCGAAUAGCUCAUGUAUCAACUAGGGCUGUCUGUAUCUUCCAUGUUAGGCGGGUUAUUCUCAAGAGGAGUGGACUCCGCUCCUCACUCACGAGAUAAAGGGCUGGUCACCGGGAUGCCCAGUCCCAUGCUUUAUGCAAACUAAAUCAAAAUAAUUGCAAACGAAACUCCCCCUGGGACCUAAUGUAUGUUGGAGGCACUCGUUGUUUCGAGCAAGCCAUGGAUUGAUGUUUGUUGGUGGAGGGGGAGUAUAAACUUUACCAUUUUGUUUGGGAACCACCUAUAAUGUGUGUAGCAUGGAAGAUAUCGCCAUCUCUUGGUUGUUAUGUUGACAAUGAAAGUAUACCGCUCAAAAUAUUAUUCACCUCUAUUCUAAAACCGAGCUCUGGCACCUCUACAAAUCCCUGCUUCCCUCUGUGAAGGGCCUAUCUAUUUACUUUUAUGUUGAGUCAUCACCCUCUUAUUAAAAAGCACUAGCUGGAGAGCGCAGCUGUCAUUUGCAUUCAUUGUUGUUAGUUUACAUUGGGUGUGACUAUGAUUGGAUCUCUUUUACCAUGAAUUACAAUGUCUAGUCAGUCCUUGAUCUUUAAAGGUGCUUUGCAUUUAUGUUUUGCGGUCUCAGAAAGGGCUAGCGAGAUACCAUCUUGUUAUAUCAUAUUAUGAUUGUUUUGAGAAAGUGUUGUCAUCCGAGAUUUAUUAUUAUGGCUCGCUAGUUGAUUAUGCUAUUGAUAUGAGUAAACAUGAGACCUGAGAAUUAUUGCAAAUAUGGUUAGUUAUAAUCUUUGCUGAAAACUUGAAUGCUAGCUUGACAUAUUUACAACAACAAGAGCAAACAGAGUUUGUAAAAUUUUCUCUUUAUUUCUUUCAGUUUGUCAAUUGAAUUGCUUGAGGACAAGCAAGGGUUUAAGCUUGGGGGAGUCGAUAUGUCUCCAAUGUAUCUACUUUUCCAAACACUUUUGCCCUUGUUUUGGACUCUAACUUGUAUGAUUCGAAUGGAACUAACCCAGACUGACGCUGUUUUCAGCAGAAUUGCCAUGAUAUUGUUUUAUGUGCAGAAAACAAAAAUUCUCGGAAUGACCUGAAACUCCACGAGAUAUCUUACAAUAAAUAAUAAAAAAUCCUCAGCAAAGAUGAAGACCAUGGGGCCCACACCCUUCUCACGAGGGUGGGGGGCGCCCCCCCUAGGGCGCGCCCCCUACCUCGUGGGCCCCCUGGAGACCCACCGACUCCAACUCCAACUCUAUAUAACUACUUUUGGGGAGAAAAAAAUAGGAGAGAAGAAAUCAUCGUGUUUUACGAUACGGAGCCGCCGCCAAGCCCUAAAACCUCUCGGGAGGGCUGAUCUAGAGUCCGUUCGGGGCUCCGGAGAGGGGGAUUCGUCGCCGUCGUCAUCAUCAACCAUCCUCCAUCACCAAUUUCAUGAUGCUCACCACCGCGCGUGAGUAAUUCCAUCGUAGGCUUGCUGGACGGUGAUGGGUUGGAUGAGAUUCACCAUGUAAUCGAGUUAGUUUUGUUAGGGUUUGAUCCCUAGUAUCCAUGUUCUGAGAUUGAUGUUGCUAUGACUUUGCUAUGCUUAAUGCUUGUCACUAGGGCCCGAGUGCCAUGAUUUCAGAUCUGAACCUAUUAUGUUUUCAUCAAUAUAUGAGAGUUCUAGAUCCUAUCUUGCAAGUCUAUAGUCACCUAUUAUGUGUUAUGAUCCGUUAACCCCGAAGUGACAAUAAUCGGGAUACUUACCGGUGAUAACCGUAGUUUGAGGAGUUCAUGUAUUCACUAUGUGCUAAUGCUUUGUUCCGGUUCUCUAUUAAAAGGAGGCCUUAAUAUCCCUUAAUUUCCAUUAGGACCCCGCUGCCAUGGGAGGGUAGGACAAAAGAUGUCAUGCAAGUUCUUUUCCAUAAGCACGUAUGACUAUAUUCGGAAUACAUGCCUACAUUACAUUAAUGAAUUGGAGCUAGUUCUGUGUCACCCUAUGUUAUGACUGUUACAUGAUGAACCGCAUCCGGCAUAAUUAUCCAUCAUUGAUCCAAUGCCUACGAGCUUUCCAUAUACUGGUUUACGCUUAUUUACUUUCCCAUUGCUAUUGUUACAAUCACUACAAAACACCAAAAGCAUUACUUUGCUUUCAUUACUCUUUUUUACCGUGACCAUCACUAUCAUAUUAGUUUGCUACUAAACAGUUUGCUGCAGAUACUAAGUUUCCAGGUGUGGUUGAAUUGACAACUCAGCUGCUAAUACUUGAGAAUAUUCUCUGGCUCCCCUUGUGUCGAAUCAAUAAAUUUGGGUUGAAUACUCUACCCUCGAAAGCUGUUGCGAUCCCCUAUACUUGUGGGUUAUCACCUCGUACUGGAUUGAUACCUUGGUUCUCAAAAAAUGAGGGAUAUACUUAUGCUACUUUGCUGCAUCAUCCCUUCCUCUUCGGGGAAAACCAACGCAGUGCUCAAGAGGUAGCAUCUGUUCCUGUGACUCCUACACCAAUUAGUGAGGAAGCUAAUGAUGAUGAUCAUGUAACUUCAGAUCAAGUUACUACCGAACCUCGUAGGUCAAUCAGAGUGAGAUCCACACUAGAGUAGUACAGUAAUCCUGUUCUGGAUGUCAUGUUACUUGAUCAUGACAAACCUACAAAAUAUGAGGAAGCGAUGAUGAGCCCAGAUUCCGCGAAAUGGCUUGAGGCCAUGAAAUGUGAGAUGGGGUCCAUGUAUGAGAACAAAGUAUGGACUUUGAUUGACUUUCCCGAUAAUCGGUGAGUCAUUAAGAAUAAAUGGAUCUUCAAGAGGAAGAUGGAUGCUGAUAGUAGUGUUACUUUCUACAAAGCUCGAAUUGUCGCAAAAUGUUUUCGACAAGUUCAAGGUGUUGACUACGAUGAGAUUUUCUCGCUCGUAUCGAUGCUUAAAAGUCUGUCCGAAUCAUGUUAGCAGUUGCCGCAUUUUAUGAAAUCUGGCAAAUGGAUGUCAAAACUGUAUUCCUUUAUGGAUUUCUUAAAAGAAUAGUUGUAUAUAAUGCAACCAGAAGGUUUUGUCGAUCCUAAAGGUGCUAACAAAGUGAGCAAGCUCCAGCGAUCCAUCUAUGGGCUGGUGCAAGCAUCUCGGAGUUGGAAUAUAUGCUUUGAUAAAGUGAUCAAAGCAUAUGGUUUUAUACAGACUUGCGGUGAAGCCUGUAUUUACAAAAAAGUGAGUGGGAGCACUACAACAUUUCUGAUAAGUAUAUGUGAAUGACAUAUUUUUGCUCGGAAAUAAUGUAGAAUUUUAUGGAAAGCAUAAAGGAGUGUUUGAAAAGAGUUUUUUCAAAGAAAUACCUCAGUGAAGCUACUUACAUAUUGAGCAUCAAGAUCUAUAGAGAUAGAUCAAGACGCUUGAUAUAUUUUCAAUGAGUACAUACCUUGACAAGAUUUUGAAGUAGUUCAAAAUAGAACAAUCAAAGAAUGAGUUCUUGCUUGUGUUGCAAGAUGUGAAAUUGAGUAAAGACUCAAAACCCGACCACGGCAGAAAAUAGAAGGAGAAUGAAAAGUCAUUCCCUAUGCCUCAGUCAUAGGUUCUAUAAAAUAUGCUAUGCUGUGUACCAGACCUAUUGUGUACCUCACCAUAAGAUUGGCAAGAGGGUACAAUAGUGAUCCAGGAGUGGACCACUGGACAGCGGUAAAAAAUAUCCUUUGGAAUAAGGAAAUGUUUCUCGGUUAUGGAGGUGACAAAGAGUUCGUCAUAAAGAGUUACGUCGAUGCAAGCUUUGACACCGAUCUGGAUGACUCUAAGUCUCGAUCUAGAUACAUACUAAAAGUGCGAGCAAUUAGCUAGAGUAGCUCCGUGCAAAGCAUUGUAGACAUAGAAAAUUUGCAAAAUACAUACGACUUUGAAUGUGGCAGGCCUGUUGACUAAAUUUCUCUCACAAGCAAAACAUGAUCACUCUUUGGGUGUUAAUCACAUAGCGAUGUGAACUAGAUUAUUGACUCUAAUAAACCCUUUCGGUGUUAGUCACAUGGAGAUGUGAACUAAUCACAUAAAGAUGUGAACUAUUGGUGUUAAAUCACAUGACGAUGUGAACUAGAUUAUUCACUCUAGUGCAAGUGGGAGACUGAAGGAAAUAUUCCCUAGAGGCAAUAAUAAAGUUGUUAUUUAUAUUUCCUUAUAUCAUGAUAAAUGUUUAUUAUUCAUGCUAGAAUUGUAUUAACCGGAAACUUAGUACAUGUGUGAAUACAUAGACAAACAAAGUGUCCCUAGUAUGCCUCUACUUGACUAGCUCAUUAAUCAAAGAUGGUUAAGUUUCCUAGCCAUGGACAUGUGUUAUCAUUUGAUGAACGGGAUCACAUCAUUAGAGAAUGAUGUGAUGGACAAGACCCAUCCGUUAGCUUAGCACGAUGAUCGUUUAGUUUGUUGCUAUUGCUUUCUUCAUGACUUAUACAUGUUCCUAUGACUAUGAGAUUAUGCAACUCCCGAGUACCGAAGGAACACUUUGUGUGCUACCAAACGUCACAACGUAACUGGGUGAUUAUAAAGGUGCUCUACAGGUGUCUCCGAUGGCGCUUGUUGAGUUGGCAUAGAUCGAGAUUAGGAUUUGUCACUCCGAUUGUCGGAGAGGUAUCUCUGGGCCCUCUCGGUAAUGCACAUCACUAUAAGCUUGCAAGCAUUGUGACUAAUGAGUUAGUUACAGGAUGAUGCAUUGCGGAAUAAGUAAAGAGACUUGCCGGUAACGAGAUUUAACUAGGUAUGAGGAUAACGACGAUCGAAUCUCGGGCAAGUAACAUACUGAUGACAAAGGGAACUACAUAUGUUGUUAUGUGGUUUGACCGAUAAAGAUCUUCGUAGAAUAUGUAGGAGCCAAUAUGAGCAUCCAGGUUCUGUUAUUGGUUAUUGACCGGAGACAUGUCUCGGCCAUGUCUACAUAGUUCUCGAACCCGUAGGGUCCGCACGCUUAACUCAGUGACGAUUGGUAUUAUGAGUUUAUGUGAUUUGAUGUACCAAAGGUUGUUCGGAGUCCCGGAUGAGAUCAUGAACAUAACGAGGAGUCUUGAAAUGCUCGAGCUGUAAAUAUCAGUAUAUUGGAAGGCUAUAUUAGGACAUUGGAAAGGUUCCGAGUGAUCUGGGUAUUUUUUGAAGUACCGAGGGAGUUACGGGAAUACGGGAGUACAUAUGGGCCUUAGUGGGCUUUAAGGCAAAAAGAGGAGAAGCCACAAGGGCUGGCCGCACCCCCCAUGGGCCUAGUUCGAAUUGGACUAGGGGAGGGGUUGCGCCCCCUCUUUCCUUCUCCUCCCCUUCUCCUUCCUUUCCCCUCCUAGUAGGACUAGGAAAGGAGGAAUCUUACUCCUACUAGGAGGAGGAUUCCUCCCCCUUGGCGCGCCUAGAGAGGCCGGCCAGCCUCCCCACCCUCCUUUAUAUACAUGGGGAUGGGGGCACCCUAGGACACACAAGUUGAUCAGUUGAUCUUUUAGCCGUGUGCGAUGCCCCCCUCCACCAUAAUCCACAUCGGUCAUACCGUAGCGGUGCUUAGGCAAAGCCAUGCGUCGGUAGCAUCAUCAUCACCAUCAUCAUGCUGUCGUGCUGACGGAACUCUCCCUCGAAGCUCUGCUGGAUCAAAGUUCGUGGGACGUCACCGAGCUGAACAUGUGUUGAACUCGGAGGUGCCGUACGUUCAGUACUUGGAUUGGUCGAAUCGUGAAGACCUACGACUACAUCAACCACGUUCUCAUAACGCUUCCGCUUACGGUCUACGAGGGUACGUGGAUGACACUCUCCCCUCUCGUUGCUAUGCAUCACCAUGAUCUUGCGUGUGCGUAAGAUUUUUUUUGAAAUUACUGCGUUCCCCAACAGAAACACCCACUUGCCAGUGAUGAUACUGGCAUGAGGGGUCGCAGAACAAGCUGCCACGUGCGGUUGCGCUGUAGGGUGUCAAACUCCUCCUGCAUCGCAGCUAGCCAAUGGGGAUCACGAAGGGCAGCACGAGCGGAGGUAGGGACGGGUGAUGGCAUCGACGUCGAGGCGGCGCACACAUACUCGUCGGAGGAGCAGCGCGUGCUCGGCCGAAGCACUCUUGCUCGGGCACGGGUAGUCACGCCAAGAAGCGGGGCAGCCGGGCCGGCGAUAGCGGCGGGGGCCGCGGCGGCGGCAGGGGCCGCGACCACGACAUGGGCGGCGGCAGCGACAGGGGCCACAACCACGACAGGGGCGCCGGUGGUGGCAGGGUUACCCAUGGCGGCGACAGGGGCCGCGGUGCCAGCUAAGCCAGUGGUUGAGGGACGACGGGCGAGGAGGAUAUCGAGCCCGUCGCCGAGGUGGCGGGCGGAGUACCCACCGGCUCAACCUCGUAGGAGGGAGAUGGGUAUCCGGGGGCCUGGUCAGACUCGAGACCUCUGGGAAGGGAGUCAAAAAUAUGGGCGGUGGCGGUAGAAGACGCCAUGCCGAGGGGGGAGGGCUCUAGGGGCGCCGCCACGCAUCGCUCUUGGAAGGGGGUGCGGGGGCCAGCGCCGAAGGGGCCGAAGCCGGAGAAACCCGAAAAAAGGGAACACCGUCUCGACAAAAUACACGUGCCUCGAGGUGUACACACGAUGAGUGACAGGAUCAUAGCACCGGUAACCUUUGGUGUUAGGAGGGUAGCCAAGGAAGACGCAUGGGAUGGAACGUGGUGCGAGCUUGUGUGGUGUGAUGGACGCGGUGCCGAGAUAAUAGAGACACCCAAAGAUGCGGAGACCAUCAUAGGACAUUGGUGUACCAAAGAGAAGGUGGUGAGGGGCGUAGUUCCACCGAGGACGACACGGAUGAAUGUUAACUAAGAGAGUGGCGGUGGCGAGAGCAUCGGGCCAAAGCCGAGCGGGCAUGUUAGAGUGAAAGAGUAACGUGCGAACGUAGUCAUUAAGAGUGCGGAGAAUGCGCUCGGCACGGCUGUUCUGCUGUGAAGUGUAGGGGCAAGUCAGACGGAAGGUGGUUCCGUGAGAGGCGAGAAGUGUGUGAAGAGCAACGUUGUCAAACUCUUUUCCAUUAUCAGUUUGGAGGGCGAGUAUGGGGCGACCGAACUGGGUGCUGACAUAGGAAUAAAAGGUGGCGAGUGUGGCUAAAGCAUCGGAUUUACAACGAAGAGGAAAAGUCCACACAUAAUGAGAAUAAUCAUCUGAAAUCACCAAGUAGUAUGGAUAGCCCGUGUUACUCGCAACGGGAGACGUCCAAACAUCACUAUGAAGCAAUUGAAACAGAAAAGUGGAAACUGAAGUAGACGCACUAAAGGGAAGACGAACGUGCUUGCCCAAGUGUCAAGCCUCACAAGUAUGCUCGUCGAGCUUAUUACAUGAGAAAGAAAAACUCCUUAGAAUCUAACGCAAAAUGGCAGGGUUGUGGUGACCCAAGCGAGCAUGCCAAAGGUCAACGCUGGUGGCGAGGGCGACGGGUGCGGAAGUGCAGGUGCUGGCAUGCACGGGAUAAAGCUCAUCAGGGCUAUCACAUCGGCGAAGGACCAUCCGGAUACGGGCGUCCUUCACAGAAAAACCAACACCGUCAAAUUUAACAGUAAGGGGGUUCUCAUAAGUAAGACGACGAACAGAAACUAAACUAGUGACUAAGGCAGGUGAGACAAGAACAUUAGACAUAGUGAUAGGUGUGGAACUAGAAGGAAAACUAGUGCUACCUACAUGGGUGAUUGGUAAAGAAGAACCGUUGCCAAUUGUGAUACGAGUGGGUGUGUUAACUGGAGUGGAAGAGGAGAGGUUACCGGGAUGAGCUAUCAUGUGCGUAGUAGCACCCGAGUCCAUGUACCAGUCGCCUCCACCGCCAUAGUUACUCGGCGACGGCGCCCAGUGUAGGGCGGCCAGGAGGGCGGGGUCCCAUGGUGCACAUACCGGCGUCGACGGUUGGCCUCCAUAGGGUGGCGCCUGAGGGGGCACGCCAUAGCCACCGAGGGAUGGCGGAGCGAGCGGAGCACCGUAGGGCUGGUAGGGGACGCCGAGGAACGCCUGGUGACCAGUGGGGCGGGGAACAAGAAGAUCCGGUGCGGGGGCCCGCGGGACGGGCAUGUGAUAGGCAUGGACAACGCCCGUCCACGGGUUCUUCCCGGCAGCCCACGGCGGGGGCGGCUACUGGUAGCGGGGCGCCUGCUGCUGCUACGGCUGCUGCUGACGGCGGCCCCUGCCUCCCCACCGGUUGCGCCAUCCCCCGGCACCUUGCGGCUGCUGGGGAGGCACGGGGGGCGCGAGCGGUGCGAGCUGACGAGGCGCGGCGGGAGGAGCAGGGCCACAGUGGGUGGUGCCAGCGGCGAGGGCGGUGUGCUGAACCCGCUACUUCAACUUCGUCAUCCGGCGCUCCUCAAGUUUGAGGUACGCGACGACGCGUUGAAAAGUGGGCUGUGGCAGCAGGGUGAGGUUGGACGCCGCAUUGCCGAAGUCCUUGUUAAGACCGGCGGUGAGGGUGCUCAGCAUGAGGUCAUCAGAGACCUUGGCGCCGAUGUCGCAAAGCUCGUCGGCGAGCAUCUUGAGCCUCAUGCAGUACUUGUCGAUGGUGGAGUUGUCCUGGUGACAGCUGGAGAACUCCUGCUGCAAGAAAACAAGGCGUUGAAGUUUGUUGUCGGUGAAGAGCGCGUUGAUCUUAGCCCACACGUCGUAGGCGUCAUCGUCCUCACGACCACCGUGUGGAAGAUGUCCUUCGAGACCGUCUGGUAGAACCAAUGGAUGACCGUGGCCUUGAUGGCGGACCACUCCGGGUCGCCGCGCAUGUAUGCGCUAUCCACGAAACCGUCGAUGUGCUCGGUGAGAUAGUACUCAGGGAAGAUAAGGUUGAAUUAGGUCUUCCAUGUGUAGUAUGACGUGCUGGAGCUGUCGAGACGGAUAGGGACCCAGGCCUCAAUGUUGAGGUCACGGAUGGUGGCGACGGAGGGCUUGGGGCCGCCGGACGGGUUCGACGAGCGGGUGGUGGAGGAACCGGGCGAAGACAUGGCGACGGGACGGAGGCAGUGGUGAGAGGCGGCGGCAGUGUAGGGUUAGGGUUGGCGGCGAGGGUGCGAUGGGCAGCGGCCGGGAGGGGAGGCGGCUGCGGGGGGCGGCAGCGCGGGUAGGACGGCGCGGGCCAGGAGGGGAGGCGAUGCGGAAGAGAGUUGCGCGGCGGCGGCGAUCGGCGCGGGCAGGGGGCGGAAGCGGGCGGCACAAGGGGCGGCGGCGCGGUGGAAGAGAGGGAAGGGCGUGGCGACGGUGGCGGGGGUGGCGGCGGCACGCGCAACGGGGAGGCGCGGCGGCGGCGGCAAAUCCUAGGGUCAGACCGACCAAGAUGAUAUCAUGUAGACGGAAAAGUUUGCAAUACAAUAGACGUUGUAUUGAUGGGGUGCUGGUGCACAUAUAUAUAAUUACAAGAAAAGGCUUCUACCUCAACUAUACAAGACUAAAAGGUGGGCCACAACUUCAAUAUACAUGCAACACAAAAUACAGCUCAACACGCCUCAAUCACAGAAAGCUUGAUCUUUCUGUACUUGCCUUUAUAUAAAGACCACAUCUUGUGAAUUGCACUGAACUAUACAACCUGCAUUGCUUUAGCCACCCCUGCAUGUACCCUCAUGUAUGCCCUCUCUCUCUCCCUCCUCAAAGUUAUAAAACACUCCUAGCUUUGGCCUAAAAUUUUCUGAUGAAAUUCAGGUGCAGAACAUCUCUCCCAAGUGAACAAAAACUUAAUAAUCCCUCCCAAUCCCAGCACCACGUUCGGUGAAGCAAGCUAACCAAUCCUUCUCAACACCCAGUUCAGUACAUGGAACAAUAGCAAAGAAGAUGAAUAUUGGCAUACAACAGGAGAGGGCGGAUACCAACAGAUCACCACUACACAGAUCAGCACAAACAUGUUCCAGGAUCGCAUCGCACAAUACACACAUGAAACUUGUUUUUUUAGUAUGGUGUGAUCCUUUUGGCAAAAAUAUUUCGGCAAUUCCAAAAGUACAUGGGAAUUCAAAUAUUUUUCAAUAUUUUAAAAUAUUUAAUUAAAAUUAUGUGAAUAUUUUAAACCUUUGUCCGAAAUGCAAACCAAAAUAAGUGAAAUUCAUUGAAUUUCGGUAAUUAUGGUUGGUGCUGAAUUUUUUUCUGAAACUGAAAUUGAAAACCACCUUGUUCAUCAUUUGCUGCAGUAAUGAGAGUCUCUUGCGGUAUCUUGCCAUGGUUGGUAGGGUUAGUGACAUAGCAUAAGCAUAAGCUAUCAUACUGAGUAUGCUGUAUCUGAACCAGGGAAGAUACCGUAGAGUCAGCUGUGAAAAAAAAGAGGGCAUUAGUGACUCACGGUCGUAUUUUUUUGCUUUGUAUUUAAAAAGCAAAUAUUUGAUUUAAAAUUUCUGUUUCCAUUGAUCAUAGGCUAAGUUCUCCUUUUGCCCCCUUCCAAUACGAGAACCCUGUUGGAAAUUCGUUUCGCAGUUUCGCAAAAGUCUACCAGUCCCUUCAGGCUGUUGGCAGGGAUGUCAAUUUAGUAAAUAAUUUCCAUGUUGUUCCUCAAUAGUUUUCCUUCGUCUUGAACCAGGCGCGCUCGGCCGCCCGGAGCCGCUGGAGCGCAGGAUCGAACAUCCGGUGGAGGCGGUCAAAGUUGCUGCACACCCGUGCGCAGGCGCUGCGGGAGCGGACGCCCCGCGCGGGAGCCACUGUAGAAACUUUGCGUUGUAUUAAAAAGAAAUAAGAAAUCUCAUGCUUUAUAUUGAUAUAUAUGUUUUGAACUUUUUUAUAUCCAUUGGUCAUAUGCUCAAGUUAGGGCAUCUACAACGGCGACCCGCAAAAUUUCUCUCGCAUCCGUCUGCGGAUAGGGCGACCAGUCCAGAGACAUGGAUGCGGGAGCCGGCCAUCUAACGCUGCCCGCAUACAUUUGAACAAAUUUUUGAACUAACCGAACAAAAAUCAUGCAAACAUGGCGGAUUUCAUAUAAAUCCAACACAGUUUAGUUAAGCUAGGAUAAAUUUUACAUAAAACCAGGCAAUAUUCCGUCCGGUGAACUAAAAACCUUAAAACAAAAACCCUAAGCUACUCUAUACUUGACGAUGACCUCGUAGGCCAUGCCGGGCAGGCCAACGGCUCCUCCUCUGUCAUCGUAGCCCGAUCUGGCGUUGGAGUCGUCGCUAGACUUCGGGCGGCGGAGGGUGGCGGCGUCGCCGCAGGGCUUCUCGGCUGCCGCAUGACAUUCGCGGAUGAUCCUCGCCACUUCCUCCUCCGCCGUGUGCNNNNNNNNNNNNNNNNNNNNNNNNNNNNNNNNNNNNNNNNNNNNNNNNNNNNNNNNNNNNNNNNNNNNNNNNNNNNNNNNNNNNNNNNNNNNNNNNNNNNNNNNNNNNNNNNNNNNNNNNNNNNNNNNNNNNNNNNNNNNNNNNNNNNNNNNNNNNNNNNNNNNNNNNNNNNNNNNNNNNNNNNNNNNNNNNNNNNNNNNNNNNNNNNNNNNNNNNNNNNNNNNNNNNNNNNNNNNNNNNNNNNNNNNNNNNNNNNNNNNNNNNNNNNNNNNNNNNNNNNNNNNNNNNNNNNNNNNNNNNNNNNNNNNNNNNNNNNNNNNNNNNNNNNNNNNNNNNNNNNNNNNNNNNNNNNNNNNNNNNNNNNNNNNNNNNNNNNNNNNNNNNNNNNNNNNNNNNNNNNNNNNNNNNNNNNNNNNNNNNNNNNNNNNNNNAGGAGGCAGCGGUGGCGGUGGCAAUCUAGUAGAGAGAUCACUCCUCACCGUACUUGGCCAUCUCCCUGCCAAAUCUUCUCUCAUGCAUGUUGGCGGACAAUCUUCGAUUAUGCUCCGUUAUGCAUCAUCGAUGCUUAUAGUCUAAUUCCUCGCUAAUUUUUUCAAAGGAAGAGGAAGAACAAUUGAUGUUCUUUUUGGAGUAGUGAAUGCCUCAUUUUAUUUGUUAAAGAUCAACAGUCUCAUUUUUAUCUCACUGCUACAUUCAGAUGGAAUGACGGCAACUGCUGCUGGUGAUGAUGACUGUGCCUCAGGGUCUGCUAAAAGGUAGAGAAAGAACCAGUUCAGGGGCAUCCGCCGUUGCCCUUGGGGUAAGAGCAUCUCCAGCCGUUCGGGCCCCCAGACACUUGAAAUAUCAUCGCCUGGGGGCGAACCGGCGAUAAUCUCGGUGUGGGGCCAAUCGAGUUCCCAGCCACCGCCCCAGGUUGGCCCCAGACGCGGUCUUUUGAAACAUGAAAUCGGCCAAAACACUACACAAUUUCUUCCAAACUAGGCGAUUUCAUUGAUAUUUUACAAAAAAACUUAAGAACACAAAUGAAAACACAAACUAAAAACGACUACGCCUAGCCAUCGCCGCGGCCCGCCUUCUACAUACCUAGGAGCCUGUAGAACCGGCUGUAGUCGCCACCAUCGUUGUUGACGUCGUGCUGGGUGCUGCCGCGUCCCUGCUGCACCCCUGACCAGCGUCGCCGAUGCGCGGGGGGUUGGAUGGCCCGGGCACAUCCUCAUCGUCGCUGUCGAGGACGACCACGACGCCCUUCUCGCGUCCGCAGCGUCGAGCUUUGAUUUCCUUGAAAGCCUGGCGCUGGCGCUCCAUCUGCUCGCGAAUGUAGUCCUCCUUUGCCCACUUGAGGCUGGUCUCGUCGUCGGCCAUGUCCUGGUGCUCCUUCUUCACGGGGAGCAAAACCGGCUCGGUCUUCGCCGUACGAGGCAGUAGGAACGAGGAGAGGGGUGGCCGCCCUCGUUGGUGACGAGGGCACCGCCGCGGGUACGACGCCCAAGUGGCGUAUCCUGCGGCUCUGGCUUGACGGGGCGAAGCGCCGGCGAGCCGGAGGACAGAGACCCGGAGCCUGACGACGAAGAUGUUGUCGUCUCCAUUCACUGCGGUGUCUAGAAGUUGCUGCGACAGCGAGAAAAGGAGGGGGCACAGGGUACUCCAGGCGCGGCGUGUUGUCGGCCUCGAUGUGCUCGAGGAUGGCUUCAAGGGUGCGGUCGGGGAUGCCCCUCCAUAGGCGCCGUCCCUCGGAGUUGUGGGGGCCACGGGGCUCGAUGUUGUUGGUGGCAGAGACCCCCUCCUCGUGGCACCGCUCGAAGUACGUCAUCCGCAGCGCAUUGCUGUCGGGGGCAAACCUCGGCUGGUUCCGCCGCGGAUCCGGCAGCGAAGAACCGAUGCGUGCAAUUUCGGCACGCCGGGCAGCUCCGGUGGGCGCGGGCGGCACCGGGACCCCACCGGCGCUGAGCCUUCAGGUGCCCGGCACCCGCAUGUCCGGGGGCGCCGGGUACUCCGGCUUGUAGAGGAGGCGUGCCACAUCCUCGCGCAGAUGGCGGCGGCCGAAGCCGUUAGCCGCUGCGCCGUCGUCUGGGAAGCGCUCGGCCAUUGCCUUCAGCUAGGGAGAGAGUGGGAGGGAGAGGCGUCGGCGGUGAGAGGUAGAGAGAAGGCGUCGGUGGCGAGAGCUUUGUGCGUUCACCGGCGAGGGAGGACGGCUUUUAUAGCCGCGGAUGGGCGGUGGGAGUGCUGCCGCCGUGUGCCGCGUGACCGGAGCGGGCGGGACACGGGUCGCCACGCCUUCACUACGCCGCCCGUGAGGCAUCAAUGGAAGGCUGACCGGCGCAACAGCCUUGGCAUUGUUUCUAGCGGGAAUUGAGGCGAUGAGGAUGACGAAGGCGGCGAGUCGCUGACUCAGCGGACCCACUCCUUUUCGCGCCAAAAACGUUUCUCCCGGCGUCCCCGGGCGUCCCUAGCGUGCUGGGUUUGGACUGAGUCCGCUGGCAUCAAAAUCGACCCUAACCGGCGAAAACUGAGUUUCUGAGGGCGCGACUGGGCUGAAAUUUCUGCGCCGGCGACGAAAAAGGACUUCGGGAGGGAGGGAGGGGGGAGGCGGGGGGCACAGCUGGAGAUGCUGUAAAUGGGCUGCUGAAAUAAGAGAUCCUCGCAAGGGUGUCCGUGUCUGGCUUGGCACUUACAACUCUGCCGAGGAAGCUGCCAAAACCUAUGAUGUUGAAGCCCAUAGAAUUCGUGGCAAGAAGGCAAAUGUUAAUUUCCGAGAAGAAGCUCCUAUGUCUCCUCAGCAACGCUGCGCUGAGCCUACCUCUGUGAAGGUGGCCAAGUUCAACACCGAACAGAAGUCGGUGCUCACUGAUCAACACCAUGGGCAACGCAGAUGUGUAUUCCUGCCCUGCUGUCGACUACACCUUAAAUCAGCAAUUUGUGCAGCCUCAGAACAUGUCGUUUGUGCCUACAGUGAAUGCAGUUGAGGCCCCUUUCAUGAAUUUUUCCUCUAAUCAGGGGAGCAACUCCUUUAGUUGCUCAGACUUCAGCUGGGAGAAUGAUAUCAAGACCCCUGACAUAACAUCUGUGCUUGCAUCCAUUCCCACCUCGAUAGAGGUCAAUGAAUCUGCAUUUCUGCAGAACAAUGACAUUAAUUGAACGGUACCUCCUAUGAUGGGUAAUGCUAGUAUUGACCUUGCCGACUUGGAACCAUACAUGAAGUUCCUGAUGGACGAUGGUUCAGACAAGUCAAUGGACAACAUUCUAAGCUGUCUUGUGCCCCAGGACGUUGUUGGCAACAUGGGCCUUUGGACCUUCCAUGACAUGCCCUUGUCUGCUGGUUUCGACUGAGGGAAUCGAGGUUGCUGGGUGCCUGUAUAUAUAAACAAAAGGUAGGCAUAUGCAUUGUGGAAAUAAACUCAAUUGUUAUGCACUUCAAUUUCCAUUUCAUUGAUCAUUAUCCUUUAUCUUGUUUCAGGAAUAAGUAUUCUGGGCAUCAACAAGUGCUUGUCUCUGGUGCCUCUAGAGUCGAGCAGUAGCGAUGUCAGUCUAUGGUUAUGUCUAGCUUAAAAGGUCAGGAGACUAAGGUCUUUCGCAAUAGACCUCUGUCUUGUACCCGCAGACUAUAUAUCUAUCUAUAAGACUAGUAUGUGAUGGGAACUGCUUAUUUUGUAUUCCUGUUUCUACCUUAUUGUAAUUGCUACAAGUGGCUGUAAACCUUUUAAAUUUGAAGCCAGUGUUUGGUAUGUUGUGCUUAAUUUUUCUAAUACGCUAGUUCUUCAUUUGCUGCAAUACUGGAACUCUUUUGGAGUAUCUUGCCAUGGUUGUUAGGGUAAGUGACAUGGCAUAAACAUAAGGUAUCAUACUGGGCCAACAUUCUCCUUCAAAGUUUAUCAAAG
This 72384-nucleotide long non-coding RNA is filed under the name Triticum aestivum (bread wheat). Its description in RNAcentral is "long non-coding RNA (TAES_LNC014300)". The record is from RNAcentral. Lineage: Eukaryota; Viridiplantae; Streptophyta; Magnoliopsida; Poales; Poaceae.